UUGGUUAUAGUAUAUCAUUUUAUUUUGCUUGUGCCAUCUAUUUGUUGUUGACCCAAAUUCUAUUAGACAUGAUUAAGGCCAUAUUUUUUAAAUUCUGAUAUAUUUCAAAACUUGUGGGGGGUACUCUUUUAUCAGUUUGAUAAAUUUUGAUAUUAUAAUUACUCUCGUAAUUUUAUCCUAGUGUUCAUCUUGGAAACGAAUUUUGCAAAUUCUAAGAUUGGCAGGUAAAUUAUUUUGAGACAUAAAUUUAUUAGAUGGCUAACCUUUUAUAAUAUUAUUUUUUAAGUUUUUUCAGAUCUGAUCAGAAUCUUGCAGAUUGCUUGACGAAAGGCCUGAAUAGGACUAAGGUCCUAGAGUCAUCGAGGGGGAUGGGACUUUGCCCGUAAAGGGCCUUCCUGCAGUGGGAACCCAACCUUUGUGAUAGGAGAUCCCUUGAAGAAGGUUCAAUGUGGUAAAAACAAGCUGUCAGGUUGGCCAAGAGCACUUUCUACAAAUUUUAUAAAGGAGCUUUAGCUCCAAUUCCAUCCCUAUGGUGAGUAGUGCUCUGUGUAGUGGAUUAGGUUGAGCUGAGAGCUCUUAAUGGGAUCCAAGGCGAUAAUUUUCGCGAGAUGUGACUCUACACACAUCCCUGGAGGAAACCACCUAUAUAAGAGUAUCCGUAUGUGGCCGCGGCUAUGUGAAUGGGCUAUACAUAGAAACUCUUAUGAAAAAUCAAGGUACUGUGCAUGGCCAUUAACGCACAGACCCGCGACGGAGAAUUCUAUACUGUGUGUGUGAUAGUUGAAGUCAGGGACAAAGGAACGUAGUUCAAGACCUGGUUCACUCCGAUUCCUUCUGAUGGAAACUAUUUACACUAAGUGAGGUUAAGUCCUUAAAGACACCUUACCUAUUGCAUAGUAUAAACACCCGGUGAUUUAUUUAUUUAUUAGUUUUGUUUUCGAGUUUAAUUCCUAUUUCGAAAUUUUGAAUUUUGUGGGGGAUUGUUGGAGAAAAUUCAAAAUCUCUAAAUUUCAUAUUUUAAAAUAUUAAUUUAAUUUAUUUUUAUUAUUAUUAUUUUUUAAGCGAACGUCCGCACGCACUGUGCACGCGCGGACGUUACGCAUGCUCGCGCUAUUUGUCCGCAUGGAAUCCAUGCGGACAUUCAUGUGGGUGCUAAUUAAAAGGGCUAAUUAAGAAAAUGUUAACGUUGGGAAUACCAACGUUAAGUUUUCUCAUUCCCCUGUAUAUAUAUUUAUAUACACUUGUUCUACUGUUCAUAGAUAUAUGAACACCGUGGAAAAACAACAAGUGAAAAGAGGGUUUUAAUUUAAGUUUUUUUAUCAAUUGUUUAUUUACUUGAUUUCUUUAUCAUCGGGUGUUGAAAGAGUCUCCGUCAACCUCCUUCACGAUCGUGCUCGCAGGAGGAGGAAUUCCGGUCGUACCUUGGGGUGUUAUUUCCGGUUAAUCCCGCACGUAAGGACGGAAAUACGCCUUAGGGCAGUGCCUCGCACACUUCCGGAUCAAUUAAAUUUUUAUUUGGACUUAGCGAUUAUCGGUAAGUUGAUUUUAUUAAUUUUAUCAUAAGAUUUUGUUAGAUUUAAAUCACAAUCAGAUUUCUGUGCGGUAUUUGUUCCAACACGAAACACAUACCAUGCUAUAUUUCUCUAGAAAAGAAAAAGGAAAAUUUCCAUAUGCAUAUUUCACUUUGUACCAAACAAUUCAAUGAACUUUAGAUUCUAUAAUGCUAAUAUAUUUUCACUGAAGAUCAACACUAUUUGUAUGCCCAAAAAUAAGAAUCAAGAGCUAACUGAGAGACAAAGGAUAGCAGCAACAAAGAAAAGUAGACAGAGAAUUCAGGAUUGACAUAGUUUUUGUGAAUAUUGAAUGCACUCUCACGAGAGUCUUGCCAUCAAAGUUGAACGUCAAUAAACCACAAUAGAAGUAAUUGCUAAACGCGAUUCAGAAUAUUUUUAUUAUUCUCCUGAGGCGACAAGUCCACAUUUAUUAUUUAAUUUUAAGAGAAAAAUACUAAGCCUAUUAUAGAGAUAUUCAAAAGGUUGUGAAAGUUCAAUUGCUUAAUACUUAAGAUGCACCAACAAAAGCGGGAAAAAAAACAAAAAAAAAUACAGCACACAUUACUUGCACAGUUGGUUGUACUUCCGUUGCUAAUAAAUAUUCGAACAGUAAUAAAGCGGGCAAAGCGAAGAGGUUUUCAUCUAACAACGCGGCUUUAAACCCACUCCCGCGACUUGUCCCAAGUCAACUGCUCCCCACUCCCAUUAUUUAAUACACAUCCCCAAUUUUGGUUGCGCCUCGCGACUUUUCUCCCGUAACGACCGGUCACUUUACCACUGUACUACCCAGCGUGUGGGACAGCGCGAGAAAAGCUCCAUUAUGUAUGCAAUUAACGCUAUUAUUAUUGUUGUAGCUACAAAGAUGAGGGGAGUGCGGAAUGGUCAUUGAAAGCGUAUACUUACCUGGGUGUGAUCGCGUCCGCUGUAAUUGAUUCGAUAUUAUCUCAGAGGGCGGAAAGUAGUGGAGUGGUGCCUGAAAGUACCAGGAGAGAGAGAGAGAGAGAGAGAGAGAGAGAGAGAAGAGAGGGCAACGAAGAAGCUGCAAAAAGGCCAUUACGCGGACUUGAAUCCGGCGCUCUGAAAUCCAGUUUAAUCCGAUCCUUCGAGAUCCGCUUCUUUCAUUCACCCACCCACCUCCGCAGAGGGCGCCCAAAAAGUGGUGGUGGUGGUGGUACUUAGCACUCGAUCGCCGUUGUACGGAGCGAGGGCGGAAUCGCUUUUGUGGAUGGCCGUUGAGGAGGAGGGGAAGGGGUGGGGGCUGUGUCGGAUUCCCUUCUGGGGCGGAGGCGGAGGCGGAGGAGCAGGGGGGAGGAGGGGAGGAGGGGGCUCCUCGUCGUCGUCGAACGCGUCGUCGGCGAGCUUGACGCACCACCGCCGGGGGCCGGUGGAGGGCGGCGGUGGCGUCGUCGUCGCCGACGCGGAGGCGCGCCGACCCGGCGGGGGGAGCUCCGUUGUGUCGGUGGCGCGGUCGCUGAUCCCCGCGAGGCGUCGCCUACGGCUCGAUCCCCCCGCCAAACUCUACUUCCCAUGUAAGGGCUCGAUUCCCUCCUCUCCUUCUUCUUCCUUUUCUUCUAAUCCUCUUUCAAUUUGUGGGUGUGUCGGGUUCCUCAUCAUCAUCUCAAUUGGGGUUUCAAUUUGUGGGUGUGUUGGGCUCCUCCUCAUCAACUCAACUGGGGUGGAAAAGGGGAUCUUUUUUUGGGAUCUUCGAUUUGGUGGUUUGAUGAUCCGGAUGUGUUGAAUUAUGCCAUCUUCUUACGUAACUGAAGCUCCUAUUUAAUUUGAGGCGUGAUUUUAGUUUCCUUUGAAGAGGGAAUCCUUCUUUCUUCGACUGAUUUGUCUUUUAUGGAGGAUUGAUAUUUCUGAAUUUGGAAGUUUGGGAUCUAUUUAUGUUUUAUUAAUUUGUAGUGCUGUGCUCUCUCUUUUCCACGUCUUUCUUAGUAAAGUAACGAGGUACGUCACUGAAAACGUUGUUAUGAUCAUGAUUUUAUGAAUUUGAUGUGAAUUUGCUCCUAUUUAUGAUACUUAUUUCCAUAGUUAACUGAAAUUAGUUGAUAUGGACUUCUUUUGGUUAAGGAGAGCCAGUUCCUUUUGUGAUUCUUGAUAAGUUCUCUUCUUGUGCUUAGUCCCUUGCUAAAGUUGUAAUUUUGCAUCACUUCACCUGCGAACAGAAGCUGUAAGCAACUUCGCAUAGUAGGUGUUAUCUAUUUACUGAUUUAGAUAACUAAUCUGGGCCAGUCCAAACCAAAAUCUUACUUUUCCCUUCCACUCUUAAAAGUUUUUUUUUUGUUGUUGUUGUUGUUGUUGUUGUUGUUGUUGUUGUCUAUUUAUGUGAAUCCUUUCUACAAAUGAUCGAAAUGCUUGUAGUUCUGCAGGUGUGUUAGAAGCGGCAAUCAUUUAGUGGCUAUAAUCCGAUGAAUUACUGCUAACUUGAUGGGUGCCAUGUUUUUGUUAUACUGUUUUUAUAAGGAGAGAGAUUAUGUCCAUUUGAACUUUAUUAUUUCAGUAGCAUUAAUCCUCUUAUGGGUUUAUGUUGGGUUUAUGUUGAUUUCAGAGUUAGAGAAGUAUUGGGUCGCCUUGGGUUUAUGUUGAUUUCUGUUCAUUUUCUUGGUUGCUGUUAUUAGCAACUUCUUGCAAAUAGUUGCAAUAACUGCUUCUCUUAUUAAUUAAUUUUAUUUAUGGGUUUCACCUUGUGCUAUUUUGCUUGUAAUCAUUUUUCAAGAUUAACCUGGUGUUAGUUCUCAAUCUUAUUUGCUUCCUUUUGUUUUAAUUUCAUGGUGAAGAUGAACCUGGCAAACAGGUCAGAAGUGCUGUGAGGAUAAAGAAUACUAGCAAGUCCUAUGUUGCAUUCAAGGUGACUAUAUAAAUACUAUUUAAUAACUCUUAUCUGUUCAUUGAUUUCUGGAAGUUGAAGACUUUGGCAGUGGUGGCCGAUGUUGCUGAGUAAAUUUAGUAAAUUUCUCGGUUGCCGACGAUCAAAUUCAUAUUACAACAAGCUGCUUUGACUUACUGCUUGUUUUCUGGCAAUUUACUAGCUAUUUCUGAAAGCUGAUUACUUUAUUGUUGUUAUUUCUCCUUUAACCUAUAAGCCUUACUGAAAAAUGACUUGCGGUGCAAUUUUUAGUUCCAAACAACUGCACCAAAGAGCUGUUUUAUGCGUCCUCCUGGUGGUGUACUCUCUCCUGGCGAGAGUAUUGUUGCAACUGGUACAGUAUUUUCUGUCAUUGUUUAUUCUUUGUGGAGAAUCUGUGGAAAGAGAAUUUAGAUUAUUAUUUGAUUUGUAGUCUUUUGGACAAUAAAUCAUGACUCACUUAUUCCUUUUAAUGCAGUUUUCAAAUUUGUGGAGCAUCCGGAGAACAAUGAGAAGCCAAUGGAUCAGAAGUGUAAGGUUAAGUUUAAGAUUAUUAGCCUGAAAGUGAAAGGACCUAUGGAGUAUGUACCAGAGUUGGUGAGCCCUCUUUUUGUUGCUAAUUUAAACUAUUUGAAGUUAUGGUUCAUUGUAAUCUGUUAGAUACUGGUUGUUUAGCUAUUUGUUUUUGCACGCUAGUGGGGACUCUUGUUGCUAAUUAAAACUCUUUGAAGUUAUGGGUCGUUGUAAUCUGUUAGAUACUGGUUCUUUUAGCAAUUUGUUUUUACAUGUUAGUGGCAUAUCGCCUGUGGGUAAUCAAUUAGUUUAUAGGAUUGGUUAAUUUUGAAUUGAUAUAGCUUAACAGGUUAUUUUCCGUGUACAUACAUUUGACAUUGUUACUCUUUAACUUCAUGCUGACUUUAACCUGUUGUGCCAGUAACAGAAAUAUUAUUUGUAGUUAGGAUAUGCUACAUUUUGAUCCUUUACUCGUCGGCAUGUUUAUUUGAAAUGUUUGAAGCUUUGACUGGUGGAUAGAUGAUAUGGAUACACUUUGAUGCAUAGCGUGAAAAUGCCUGCCUAUAUUGGGUUAUAAAACUCAGCCUUAUUUAUGAAUAGCAGUUCCUGCCUUGUAUAAAAUCGUUUCAGCCGUAUUAUAAACCAUUUGAUUUGGCAUUUCAUGCACACUCUUAUGUUGAUUCGUGCCAAUUAUGUAUCUCUACUACAGUUUGAUGAGCAGAAAGAUCAAGUUGCUGUUGAGCAAAUUCUGCGAGUUGUAUUCUUGGAUGUGGAUCGUCCAAGUCCUGUAAGUCAUAAUUACUCAGCAUUUAUUUCUUUUUCAAUAGCCAUAUUUGAUCUGGAUUGUCUGUUGGCUAGUGCAAAUCCAUCUGAGUAACAAAAUUGUCAUGUAAUGGAGCUUCAAUUUGGUUUAGUGAAAACAGAAAAUCACAUGGCAUGCAUAUCCAGAUAUAUAUUUGUUGGGAUAAAUAUAUUUUCAUAUCCUUCUUGGUCUUUCAAACGCUCUUUAGGAACUUUAUUUUCCUUUUGUAACAUGCAAUAGUAGAAAGAUUUAGUUAUCUUGGAUUUUGUCUUAGAAACCUAUAUUAAUUUACCCUAUAUAUUGCUAAGGUUGAACAUUUACAUAAUUUUGUGAUCAGUUACAAGUUUCUAGUUGUAUUACUUGGAACUUUACUUGUCAUAUGAGGAUAUUCUGCAUUAGCAGGAUCCAUCCGCAUUUUUCUUUUUCUAGUUCAGUAUCCAAUUCGAAUUAAGCAUUUUUUAUUCCAAAAUAAUUCAAAAAUAAAGUAGAUUUGUUAUGGAUCUCAUAGUAAGACUUAUGAAGAUCUUUUCCUGGCAGCUUAAAUGACCUUGAAACUCUAGUAUAUUACUUAGCCUAUGAAAUCAACGCGGCUAGGUUAAAAUAUACAACACUGACCUUAUGUCGUGAUUGUGUGGUUGAAGCAAAUGGAUAAACUAAAGCGCCAACUUGCUGAGGCGGACGCAGCCCUAGAGGCACGCAAGAAACCUCCAGAAGACACUGGUUCUCGAAUUGUUGGUGAAGGUCUUGUAAUUGAUGAAUGGGUAAACUCGAUACUUCUUUAGACACUUAUUUAUACUCCUUUUCAUGUUUAACCCCUCCGCACUAAUAUACUUUCCCCCCUCUCUCCUCAAUUCAUUCUCAGAAAGAACGAAGGGAAAGAUAUCUUGCCAGGCAGCAGGUUGAAGGGGUUGUUGAUUCAGUGUAGAGUGCAGUCUGCUUUUGUUGUAAACUUUGUAUCCUCUGUGUGCGGAGUAAGAUGAGUUAGUCAUGCAAAAUGGUGGAAAAGGAAAAGAAGAAAACGAAAUAUUUGCCGCCCUUCCAUCUUUAUUUCAGGCUGGUUAGGUUGUUUCUUUUAAGGUUCGGUUUGGCAACAAUAAUGGGAAUAUUCUACUGUCAUGAGCUGUUGAGAUUUGUUUCACUUGAUUUACACGAAUGUUCAUGUAGAUAAUGGAUUUUUGCAUAUUUCCAAUAAACAUAGAAAUGUUGUUAAAUUUCUGGAACCACGUGCGCUGUUAUAAUUUAUGUUUGUCACACCAAAACAAAUGUUUGCUUAGGUUCUAUUUUUGAGUAGGGGUGGAACUGGGCCGGGCUUGGGUCGGGUAUUACUAUGCCCAAGCCCGGCCCAAAAAAAAAUGUUGGGCUUCGGGUCGGGCUUUUACCUAAUUUUUUAAAAAAAUUAAGGCCCGGCCCAAGCCCAAUGCCCAAUACCCAUCGGGUUUUGUGGAGGCCCAUUUUAUGCAUUUAUCAUAUAAUAUAUAAAUGCUUUUAUUUGUAUAAAAUUAAAAUAAAAUACCUAUUUUUAGUUUGAUCACAUCAAAUAAAUUAGUAUCUAAUAUUAAAUAUAUCCUAAUAAUAUGAACGAAAUAUUUUGUUAAUAUAUAAUAUAUCCUCAUAUAUAUAUAUAUAAGUAUAUACCAUUAAUAACACAUAUACUAUAUAUGAUAUAUUAUAUAAUUUAUUCUUUUUAUAAAUAAAUAUUAUAUAUAUAUAAUUAAAUAUUUUAUUUUAAUAAUUAAUAUAUCGGGCUUUUGGGCCAGGCUCGGGCCGGGCUUGGACAUGCCCAAAUAAGCCUAAAAUUUUUUCGGGCCUAAAUUUUGAAGCCCGGCCGGAACCCAAAGUUAAAUUUUUAAUACCCAAAGCCCGGCCCAAACAUGGCCCAUCGAGAUGGGCCUUGUUUAGGCCCGGGCCCAGUUCCACCCCUAGCCGCAAGGUCCGCGACCCGCGACCCGCGUGCGAGAGCUCGAGCUCGCGAGCUGUGAGGCCCACGAGGCCCGUGACCAGCGCCAGCGCGAGCGCGCUCAGGCUCGCGCUCGCGAGCCGUGAGGCCGCGUCUUUUUGGCGAAUAAUUCGGCUCGCGAAUUAUUCGCGAAUUCGUAUUUUUACCCAAAAAUACGCGUUUUUUUCCGAAUUUUUUGAAAAAAUACGAAUUCGUCCGUUUAAUUCGUUUUUUCAAAAAUUCGUGAAUAAUUCACGAAUUAACUAUAUAUAUAUUAAUUAUAAUAAUUUACUGUAAUAAUAAUACCUUUCCACCGUAUCGCACGGGCCGUUAACUAGUUAUUAUAACAUUAUUUAGAGAUUAAAAUAGUUAGAAACAGUUUCUGUCAAAAAAAAAGGAAAAAGAAAAAAGAAAAAAAAGAGAGAGUUAGAAACAGUUAAGUGAUUGGUAUUUAUUUAUUAUUUUUUUAAGAGAGAUAGGUAGCACACUAUCCGUUUCGUUUAUUUUAUUUAAAAAUAAACUUAGCUGGAAAUGUGAAUAAACUAGAAUUCGAACUUAGGUCUCGAAUACCAACCACCAAACCCUUUUGUCAUUUGCGCUAGGAACAGUCGGUGUGAUCGGUAUUUAUUGAAGCUGUUACUUGGUUGGCAAGUAAAGCAAAUAGGAAAACAUCAAAUUUCGCUUGUAGGGAGAGAUUUUCGCUUGUGGGGAGACAUUUUUCAUUUUUGUCAAUGUUUUUGUCACCCAAAAUUGUCAAAAUAAGCGAAUGAAAAAGCAAAUAGGAACGGCGGUGUGAUAAUCAUCAAGUCUUUUUGUCACCUGCGUUAGGGACGGUCGGUGUGAUUUGUAUUUAUUGAAGCUGUUGCUUGGUGGGCAAGUAAAGCAAAUAGGAAAACACCAAAUUUCGCUUGUGGGGAGAUACUUUUCAUUUUUGUCAAUGUUUUUGUCACCCAAAAUUUUCAAAAUAAGCGAAUGAAAACGUUGAUCGUUGACCAUUGACUGUAGUUCCAAGUGUCACUCUCCAAGUCUCAAAGCUCAGCACUACAAUAAAAGCGGUCUAUAGCGACAUUUUUAAAUGUAGGUACAUGUUAAAAAAGUGCUGCUAGCUAAAAUUACCGACAUUUUUAAAAAGUGUUGCUAUAUGUGGGGUCGCUAGGUAUAUAGUGACAGUUAAAGUGCGUCGCUAUAAUCUAAAAGAGUGUUGCUAAUUUACCAACACUUAUUUAAGCAUUUAGCAACCGCCGAAACUCUAUCUUGUUGACUGCGGUGGCGGAGGAGGACGACAGGAAAGGCUCUUCGUCUAGAAUUUCAGUGGAUUGAGUGAAGAGAGAAGAAAAGAUGUAAUUGAUUUUUCUUUUUUUUUUACUUUUCUGUUUACAAUCGGGUCUAAUGGACUGGGUGUGGUGGGUUGAGUAGAGUAAUCUUUUAUUUUUGGUUGGAUUGGGCUUUAUAUUUAGGCAUAAGUAGAUAUUUUUUUAAGUUUUAGCAUAAAUGGGACACUUACUCAAAAGUGUCCCAAACAUGUGUCCCUAUAACCUAAUUCUGUUGUAGUGCAGGUAGCAUCCAACCAUGUAUGCUUUGAUAAAUCUAUUCGCAAAAGCGUUAAUAUGUUUAAUUUAUUACAAUUUUCUCAUUAGUUCUCUNAUUCUCUCUCUCUCUCUCUCUCUAUAUAUAUAUAUAUAUAUAUAUAUAUAUAUAUAUUCUGUAGAUUAUUUCUUAUUUAUUUUCUAGGUUCAUCGUGUAUUACAAUUAGUGAUGCAUCUGGUUCUUAUUUGAAGCUCGGAGGCUUUAACAUCAGUUCGUGGGAAGCGGAAAAAUCUCCUUCCAUGGAUUCUUACCUCACCAGAACUUUUGGGUAAAUAAAUACCUUUCGCUGUACAUUUUCUGACGAACAAAUAAAAAUUUUUUAGAGGUUACUAAUUAGAAUCUCGGGAUAUAAAUCAUCGGAUAGCACUGAAUAUUAUUUUAAAAUCUAUUAAUAAGAUACUUGCUCUAAAACUCCCAAAGAGAGUUAUCCUAUCGUUUAGAGCUGAGUAUAUGAGACUCGUCUCGCCAAAUUUCUGGUUUUUUGCAAAGUUGUGUGGAAAUUUAAGUUUUGAUAGUUUAUACUGCUACGUGCAGGUAUCUGGCACCCGAAUACAUGGAAAACGGAGCUGUGACGGAAAAGUGUGACGUUUAUGCAUACGGAGUGGUACUACUACAGUUGAUAACGGGCCGCAGAGCCAUGGACCGAGCCCGGCCCAAAGGCCAACAGCUGCUUGUCGAAUGGGCCCGGCCCCUCCUGUUUUUGGCGUCCGGGGAGGUCCGGACGGCCGCCGUCGACCGGUUCCUAGACUCGCGACUCGACAAGAACCGAAUCCGGUUCAUGUCGCGGCAGCUCACGGCCAUGGCCCACGCCGCUUCGCUAUGCCUGAGGCGUGAUCCCGACACUAGACCCACUAUGUCCAAGGUGAUGCACUACUCCCUCCUCGUCUAACGAGACUAGUCACGCGUUUGGAUUGGCGGUAGUGUUAGAAUUCGACUGUUAGUGAAAGUUGAAAUAUUAGUUAUACUCUGUUUAGUAAUGCGUUACGUUUAAAAGUAAUCCCUCUGUCUCAACUUUUUUUCGUUCAAUUAUUUAAGCAGAUACUGCGAGUGCUGGAGGGAUCGGAUGGUGUGGUCGAACCCAAGCUAGGGUUUGGUUUCGAGUCGGAGUCCGUCCGUAGCCAAAGUAGCCGCAUGAGCCAUCGAGUCAACAUGUUGCUGCACCGUGACAACAUGCUACGUUUUGGUGGGAGCUUCUCUAAUCGGAUUCCUGAUGAAGCUGUUCUUAAUGCUAUUUAUGCUGAGAGAAAUUGGUCCUACUUUCAUUGAUAAUUAAAUUUUAAAAAAAAUAGAAUUUUCCUUUCUUUCAUUCAAAUUCCUUGUCCAAAAUGUUCUUGUGUUGAGCUUCUUUGAGUAGCAUAUACGCAUAUUGGUUAAUACGUGCAAAACUUAACAGAAUUAUGAACUAUUUUGAGUUAGCUAUGUAAUCUUUCACAAUUUUGAUUUUCACUUUUUAAUCUUUCAAUUUGUUUGAUUUGAGUCAUUUGAUAGUAUUUUGACUUUAAAAUUUAAAUUAAUUAUUUAUUUCGAUGAAUUUAUAGUUGCGGCAAUUGCAUCAAGUGCACUAACUAAAUCCGUAAAAAUAAAUGACGCUUUCAAAUUUUAAAGUUAAAGUAUUGUUAAUUGAUUCAAAUCAAACAAAUUGAAAUGUUAAGUAGUAAAAUUAAAAUUUCAAAAAUUUGAAUAGCUAAUUCAAAAUAGUUCAUAGUCCAAAUAAGUUUCGUACAUUUUUACCUAAAAUAUAAUAUGUUAACUUUAUAUUGUGCGCCGACACUGUUUUGCACUGCACUACACCAACCGUCCCUAGAGAAAGUGGCAAGAGGUUUGGUGGUUGGUAUCCGAGACCCAAGUUCGAAUCCUAAUUUAUUCACAUUUCCAGCUAAGUUUAUUUUAAAUGAAAUAAACAAAGCGGGUAGCGUGCUACCUAUCUCUCAAAUAUAUAUAUAUAUAUAUAUAUAUAUAUAUAUAUAUAUAUAUAUAUAUAUAUAUAUAUAUAUUUUUCCGGUUAGGUUUAUCGAAAACUAAUAUUUUUGUUUUCCAAUUUUAUUUUUUAAAAAAUAAAAACACUAGUUUAUCAUAAAAUACGAAAAAAAGAGAUUUCAAAACCAAUUUUUCCUAGAGCCAACAGGGGAAAAAUUAGAAAAGGGAUUUUUCAAGAAAUUUUUUUUUCUCUAAAAAAUCUUUUCCAAACUUUACCGGAAGAAUCAAACAAGCAGGUAAGGUUUUUGGGAGACAAAUAAUGAUUCAAUAGCAUCAUUUUGAAAUACCCAUACUACUACUGCUCUGUUUUAUUUUACAAAAAAAAAGAAAAAAGAAAAAAAGAAGAUCACUCUCAGCUUAAGAGUCAUUAAUAUAGGACAAAUAAAUUCAUAAGCACACCAUUUUCUCUCUCAUCAACAUUAGCAGUGAAGAGAGAAAUUCCCAUGAACUAUAAUUUACCUAUGCAUAUUGUUCAAAUUUAUUAGUUAUUUAUACACCACAAGUAACACACUCAACAAGCUGUUGCUGAUCCCUUUGCUUCUUGGUACAAUCCAUCAAUGCAUUCCUACAAUCAUUUUCCACCUUGUCAUGAAUCCAAUUCACUUAUAAAAAUGUUAGAUACCAUGCAACAUGACAACAAUUUCACUCUGCUAACCUUGUAGUAUUUGAGCAAUUGAGGCCUCUUCAACUUGAAGGUUGGGGUGAUCAAACCUCUCUCGAUGUCGAACGGCGCCGUCUCUAGAUAAACAGCUUUCAACAUCUCGAAUCCCUUCAGCUGCGACAUCGAAUCCGAUGUUAGUUCCUCGUUUCCUGCAGGAAAUGUGUGUGCAAUGUAUUGUACUACCUCGUGUUUGCGCCCGGUGGUAUUGAGCUCAUCUAAAAUGUGCUUUUUCGCCUUCGGGUGCUUGCAAAUCUCCUCAAAGUUACCAAUCACAUUGUUUGAUGCGGCCCAAUCUUCCAACGGCUUCCUCUCGGGGACGGCCACGCCGACGAGGAAGGACUCGAAACUGUUCCCAUACACCCAAACCUAAAUGCACCGCGCAAUCGACAUGUAGUUAGCCCGAGUAUCUAGAUAUUGAGUCUUGCUUUUUCGCUAAGACUAAUGUUGCUUUGCCCGUACCGAUGCGAUUAGAGGGCACUGCAUGUACGCGCUCUCGACAUGCUCGACCGCAACGUAUUCCCCUUGGGACAACUUGAAGAUGUUCUUCUUUCGGUCGAUGAUCUUCAUUGCGCCAUCCUGCUGCCAUUCUCCAAUAUCACCUGCAUACACCAAAGAUUAUAAGCAUUGUUCAUUGAGUGGAAACAGACACAUUUUUUUCGCGAAGAGGCAUAUUUGCAGAAGCAUACAUGCGAAAAACCUUAUGUUUCUCGAGAAAGGAAAGGAAUGAAACAGUUUUGUUUACCGGUGUGAAACCAGCCAUCGAUGAGUACUUCAUCCAUGAGGUCCGGUCGCUUGUGGUAGCCAGAGAACAAGGUAGUACCCCUCAGGCAAAUCUCUCCGCGCGGUAGCGCUUGCGACAGUGCAUUGUACCCCAUUUCCGGUACAGACUCGAGCCGAGCCUCAAUUGUAGAAGCAGGGACCCCGACCGUCCCUACCAUCGAGAAAACAUUGGCUAUCGACGUAAAGCACCCGGAACAGCUCUCAGUAAGACCUGCAUAUGUACCACAGCAUCAACACUUUUAACUCUACUUCAUGAUCAUUCCCGCAUAUGCCUUAAUUCGAUCGUUUUUUAUAUCGGCGACUAAGGGAAUUUUCUCUUAUGAUUGAAACUCAGGGGCUAACUUUCAGUCCAAUAUAAGGUGAGAUAUGCUGAGCAAGAUAUUCAUGCAUCUAAACAGGCCCUAAAGCAGUAGAAAGGUAAUUGUACUCAAAUUGUUCGACAAUGAGCACCGAAAGGAUUAUACCAUAUCCUUGUACUAAGACGCAGCAACCGACGACUCUCAGAAACUCUUCGACAUGCCGAGGUAGUGGCGCAGCUCCAGAUAUCAAAAGGCGGAUUCUGCCGCCUAGUCCUUGCUUGAUCUAUAUUUAUAGGAGGAUAACGAUGGCGAUAAGAAAAAGGAAAAGAAAAAUACUAUACAGGGAAGUACGUAAAACGGAGUAUAAUGCUAGUAGAACUACUUUGUGGAAGACCAGCUUGUCGAAAAAAGGCGAUGCUUCAUGCUGUUUCAUCCCUCUCUUCAAGUUUCUCAACUUUCUAGUGUAAACAAACCAAAAAGAAAAGAAUAUGCGCCGAAUAAAUCAAUGAUUACUAGUAAGGAUAAAUGAGAUGCUGCGCACAUAGCAACGAAUAUUGAGGAAUUGAAUCAGGCAAAAGUCGUGUUGUAUGGCUCACUGCUCAUAAGCAAUUUGAAACAGCAUCUUCGCUAACACGCCUCCGGUGGCGAUUUUAUGAUUGAUACCUUCAAUUCACAGAAAUUUCAUGAUUAUUAUUAAUACGAUUGGCAGAAGAAACUGAAAGAAAGAUAUCAAUCAGCGUAAGGACUAAACCUGCGUAUAUGCGGUCAUAAACACGCGGAACGCCACAGAAAAUUGUUGGUUUCAGCUCCUGAAUAUCAUCCAUCAAGUACCGAACAUCCUGUGUCAUGCCGUGGACACGGAAUUUGCAACUGAUUAAAUCUUGAUCAGCAAUCAAAGGUAUGAUUGAUCAGAUAUAUCGGCUAGAGCAAAAUGAAAAAUAGCUCAUACCCCGCGCCAGAAUCCUAUGGAGGCGCCCUUGUAGAUGCAGUAAUUCUCAAUUAUCUGAUCGAAUAUAUGGGCCAGCGGAAGGAACGAGAAGUACGAGUCUUCUUCGGUCACCUAUUUUGCAGGUAGAUAACAAGCCAUAGCAAUGAUAUGAAUAAUUCAACAAUACAUUCGAAAGGAACCUUCUUAAAUGCACGCAGAACUCAAAAUCAAUGUGAUACUAAAUGAAGAGAAUCGCGGAUAUGGGUGGCAGAGAAUUACCACUUUAUCUGUUUCCAGAAGAAGGUGUUCAGUAUUCAUGACCUGGGCUACGACAGCGCUGUUUGUUAUCAGAACACCCUUUGGAUCUCCUGUGGUUCCGCUCGUAUACAUUAUCGUGCAAAUGUCGUCCUUGUUCUUCGCAGGAAGUCGAGGAUUCGAGUUGUCCUGCGCACGAAUAGAGUGUCACUCGAAUCGAAGCGACGAAGUUCAAGAAAAUGUUCACUUGAGGAACUUCAGGCAAAAAUUGUCAGACCAUAGGAUGGAAGACUUACCGAUGAAAUGAACUCCUCCCAAGAGAAGCAAGAUGUUCCCCAUUGGCCGGCUUCCUCUUUUUGCGCACUCGUCACCCCUCCGAAACUAACAAUUGCUAAACACGGAAUAGAAACAUCAUUACUUCAAACAUUGCAAUGCAUAUAUAGGAAUUGACAAACAAAUUCGCUAUAUAUCCAGCAUACUCUUUAGAUGCGCACCGCACCUCGGAAGGCACGCCAAUAUCUGAAUAACACAAAAAGUAACAGGGCCAUAAGUAUUGUAUUUCUGUUCUUUUAUCCACAAAAAUAUACUGAAAUGUGCAAUAGUUGAACACAUCAAGAAAGAAAUAACCAGCUAUUAAACUUGUAUUAUCGCAGAACGAACUACCGACAGAAACUACAAUUGCUCAAUGUGUUAAGAAAAAAAAAAAAUCGAGCAAAGGCUAAGGACUUUUAACAUUACUUUCUUUUUACUUCUAUAAUAGAGCAAGAGUAUCACAGGAGAUCAAAAGAAAUGAAGCUUUUCUCCGCAUUAUAUUCAUAAAUUAAGUAGCAUGAGAAACACAGAUAAAAUCAUAAAAUUACACACCUUGUUCUGCUGCAGCACUUACAUAUACUUAUUGCUUAAAAGCUAAUCGUAGGCGUAACGUAUUGGAUAAAUUCAAAACCAAUAAGAAACUAUGUAAGAAGUGAUUGUAUCAUUGACAGAGAUUGUGAUGGAAAUUGAGAUGAAUGGAUUAGCUUACAGAUGGUAUCUUGAUUUCCUGGACAAAAGCUGUAGAGAUUUCCGCAUGGCCGAUGAUGAACUCGACUGCGUUAGCACCUGCAUUACAUUUAAUAGCGGUUUAAUUCAAUACAAUUACUAAUGAUUAUAGUGUGUGCUCAACUAAGCUCUAUGUCCAAGGCUAGUUAGGAAAAGAAAAAAGAAAUUAACUCCAUGAACAAUAUUUGGCAUCGGUAAAUUUCUAACAAUGGUAAGUCAAUGUCUCAUUAAUUGCUUACUUUUGCAUUAGUAUAAGAAUAACCAUCAAAAUGUCAAAAAAAAAAAGGAUUCAAAUUACAGCAAAAAAGGAAAAAUAAAAAAAAGGUUUCUCAUCUUGUAGAAAGAGUGAAAGCCACACACAUACCAAGGGUAUCAUACAAAGGAACAUAGACAAUUCCUUGGCUGGUACAAGCCUGUGGAAUAUACAGAACAAAACUAAAAUGUUAUUUUCUUAGGGAAAAACAAACAUUAUAUGGUACACAAAAUAACACAGUUAGUGUUUGUAGUGUCACAUGACAUGAUCUCCUUAGAAGUUUUAUAUUCACCUAGAAAAAUUGUUGGCAUGUAGGACUAAGAAAUAUUAAUCACAUUUCUCUCUCCUCCUACACCAACUAUAGAUUAUGUUGAUCAACCAGUAUAAUUAAUAGUCCCAUAUGCAAUAGGAAGAAUUAAUACUACACUGUGUAUUAUGUGCGAAGAUCUCUACCUAUCAGUAUAAUCUUUUGGAUCGAUUUGAGACCCCAACACCAUAUCAGAGUCAUUAUUUUUGAUAAGUUACUAUUGAUAGUAGAUAAAUAAUAUUUACUAUAUGUUUUCUAUUCAUUCGGUGCAUAAGAUUACUAUUUGGUGGUGGUAAUACUAUUAUAUAUCUAAUAGGUAAAAAGUUAAUAACAAAUUCUAUUCAUUUACUAUGAAUAAUAAACUAACUAUUAUGUAUUAUACAAAUAUAUAUAUUCUAACUUCUAGCCUUUUUUUAUUUUUCUUUUUAUAGAAGCUGAUAUUCACACAUCUAAUAUUUGACAAAGGCAUUGCUAAUAUUUUGUAAGGGACAAAAUAGUCAUUUUAGUAAGAAUUUCAUCAGUUUCUAUCAAAAUAAUUAUAAAAUUUAGAAAAAAAAAGAAAAAAAGAAAAGAUUCACCUCCAUUGCAAUCACCCACUCUGGACAAUUAGAACCAUAUAUUCCACAGCGAUCUCCCUUCAAAAAUUACACAUCUCAUUAAUUAUUGUUAUUUUUGUAUAAUAUUAUUCAACAAUUCAUUAAUUUGAAGCCUUAAUUAACACUCGAAAUGCUUAAUUUUGCUUACCGGGUUGAUGCCACAACUUCGCAUGCAGGAUCCAAUUUUCAUAACUUUAUGAUACACUUCCUCAUACGUUUGCCACACAUAAGUACCAACCUAAUACAUAACAUUAUUACAUGCUAAUUAGUAACCAUUGCACUUUAUUUUUAUUUUGAUUUUUUCUACAAUGAAAAGGAGGAAAAAAAAAAGGGGGUAACAUUAAAAAAAUUGCAUCAAUUUUUGCCUUACAUUUGUCUCUAACUCAAAUAAGUUCAAAGUUUGAGAUGAUUUUAAAUUUACAUAUGGUAUUAGCUAAAUCGUUAAGUAAAAUUUGUCGUUUGUUGACUCAUUUUAGUGAAGUAACUAAAUUCAACAAUUAUCCCAUAUUUUUGGACCUAUAAAACACGUACGCUACAAAAUGCGUAGUAAAAAAUGGUAUAAAUUUUAAUGUAAUGGAAUAAUUAAAAAACUGCCUAAAGUAUAGGAAGAAUCUUUAUAAUUCACCCUUUUUCUUUUUCUUUUUUUUUUCUCAACAUAUUAUAAACAAAGUUUUUAUGAGUAUCCACACAAAUAACAACUUUGAUCAUCCAAUUUAUAUAUUAACUAAAAUAAAAUAAUCUGAAUUGAACUAUAGUUAACAAUUUUUUUAAAAAAGCCACUGAUUUUAAUUACCUUGCCAUUAACAACUUGCCUGUGACCAAGCAUUUGGUUCUCUGGGUAUCUCUUAACUGCUCCACUGAUUCAUCAAAAGAAAUAAAAAAAAAAGGUUAAAAAAUCAGUAAAAAGUAACAAAAAUUGAUGAAACAUAUAAUUAAACCAAGCAAUUUAAAAUGCCACAACUAGCUAUGUGAUUUGAACACAACACAACCUAAAGAAAUCCCAUGGAGACUCAAUCCCUUUGGGCAUUUCUAGGAGACCAUUUUUCGCGUAAAUGCUCCGAUAAACCGGCCCGGCCGAGGGGCGGUUUCCGACCGCCGGCGUCGGCUCCUCCACCUUCACUGUGUACAUUGUCUCCAUGCAAAUAAUUUUCCUAUAAUUUCUUUUUAUCUCUUUUUUUUUCCUUUGUGAUUUUCUCUCCAAGUGGUGCUAUAGUGUGUUGCAAAGGAGAACAUGUUGAGUGAUGUGUUUUGGCAAAUUUAAGUGUUUUGGAGAGAGAGAGAGAGAGAGAGAGAGAGAGAGAGAGAGAGUUGGUGUGGGAAUGGAGGCAAAUUUAACAUGGUGGGGUUGAGUGGGUCAGGUUUUAUUUUAGUCCUUAAACUUUCAAGUUCGACUUAAACUCUUAAACAAGUUUCAUUUUUGCUAUUCUGUACGUAUAUUUGCUAUUAAAGAACAAAUUAUUGGCCGCACCGCACUCCGUGCGUUUGCAGAUUUGUAUACCAUCCACUCAUCGAUCCUUUAUUACUUCUCAAUUUAUAAAUUCAUGGCGUACGAAUAUACAGAUGAAUUAGGUGCAUGUAACAACUUAAUGUUACGAAAAGUUUAGGAUAUUGAAUAUUGAAUUUAGAAAUUUGAAAGGCAAAAUAGAAUUUGAGUUGAAGUUCAGGGACUGAGAAGUGCAAUUUACCCGGGAAAAAGGUGUAUAAAUUCCCAACUAACUUUUGGCGGCAUUUAUGUAAUUUUUCUUUUUCAUUCAGCCUUUACAGCAGUUGGUGGUGGUUGCAUUUAUUCUUUUCCAGCAAUUCAAUUUUAGCUUAUCCAUUUCCAGGGCUGUAAAUUGAGCUAGUCAUUAAUAAUUAAAUGCAAAAUCACAAAAAUAUAUAUAUAUUUUUUCGUACAGCUUAAAUUCUUUUAAAAUAACCUGUUGCCGAUGUGGAACGGUUAUUCAGAAAUGUUAUUAGGUUAAGGACCGCUAGUUGGUUAGUGACGUCAACAUGACGACAUAAAUAUUUAUUUAUUAUUUUUAAUUUUAUUUUAUAUAUAUUAUUUUGGUGUAUUACUUAAUUAUAAAAUAUUAAUUUUUGGACCAAAUUAAGUAGAUACAAGUUUCAAGUUUUACUUUUUAUAACACUAAUAUAUACUAAUGGAAUAUAAAAUCAGCUAAGUUGAGUUUAAGUCGUUGAAUUUUAAUAUAAUUUAAUUAAAAAAUUUGACCGAUUUGAUCAAAAUCGGACCGGUUGUCGGUUUGAUGGUUUAAUGCCGGUUCGAACAGUUCAAAAUAGUUUCUGACUUAUCCAUUUUAAAGGGUUGAAUAUAUCCGCUUUAUAGAAUUAGUCAGAGUCGGAUCGGUCGAACUGACCAAUUAGACCUGAUUUUUAAAUCGAUCAUUGCCCGUUGUUUCACGUGAUAUUUAUCUGGUUCGAGUAUUGGCUUGACUCAAUUGGUUCAUUUAAUAAUAAACAAGUUGAGCUUGAUCAUAGCUUGUUCGUGUUUGGCUCGACUGAGCCCAAAUACAUUACACGUAAAAAAUAUUUGAAACUCCUUAAGAAUAAUAAUUUUUGUAAUAUCUUUUCUAAGAUAAGUUCUAAAACAAUCCGGUCGUGAAAGAGUGCUCCCCCAAUACUUUGAGGAGCAACUUGAGUUCGACUCGAAACGAAAUGAGUUGGCUCGAGCUAAGCUCAACUGAGCUAGCUUGCUUGUGUCUCGACUUAAAAUGAUAUGAGUUUACUCGAUCUCGACUCGAUCAAAUUUAGCCCGCCCGCUCUUGUUCAGCUCAUUUACACUUUUUGUAACAUGACCAUUGCUAACCGUUGAGAUGCAAAAAAAAAAAAAAAAAAAAAAAAAACUCUUUAGAGCCUAUAAUUAAUUUCUGGGGUUUAGCCUUAUUAAUUUGUUUCAACACAUUUCCCAAACAAAUGAACCCUCCAAAAAUUGCAUUGGUCUCUUAUUCAACCAAUUCAAACGUGUAACUUAGCCUCUUUCUCCAAAAAACAAAAAAAAUAAAAAAUAAAAGGAAAAAAAGUUUAGAUAGUUUAGUGAUCAUAUAUAUGUGAUCGAUCAUCACCCUGCAGGGAUUGGUACAUGCACUUUAGGCAAUCUCAAACUAAGCUUGAAUUGAUACACGGCGUCGCUGUGCGCGGGCCAGCCACCGACGGGCACAACAACUGCGGUGCCGUGGGCGAAGGUGAACGACUUUGUCCCCCCCACCACUCUCAGCCCCUCUCCGGCACCCUCGUCGGCCUCCAAGCUGAGACUUCCACGACACUCUGGUGAUAUGUCCAACUCCAAGUGUAAGAUAUUAAAAGCCGCGAGUGUCGAGCCGUCCGUGGAGAGGAGGAACCCCCGAACUCUUCCGACAACACGCGAUAUGCUCUCAGGGCCCGCCGUGAGAUCACGACGGAAGACGAACGCUGUGCUAUUUGCCUGUAGGCUCCCUCCCUGCAACAGCAGGUCGGGGUCGGUCAAAAUGGGGUGGUUGAACGAAAACUGAGUAGUCCUACUAACAUAAAGGGAAAGUGAUAAAGCGGAUAAUUGGUCGCGAUCGUGCCACGGCUUAGAGGGAAGGGGCGAGAUGGUGGCGAGGAGGAUGACGACGAGCACGGCAGCUGCGACGGCGAUGAAGAAUAUAACCUUGGCUAGCAUAUUGUGGCCUUAUACAUUGCUAGGCCGAAUAGCAUGAGAAUGAGAAGAAUUUUCUCUUUUUUUUUACAUAAAUACUAAUUAAUAUGAUGAUAAAUAUGGUAAAGAAUAUUUGGUCACGCUCGUUGCACUUGCUCCAAUAUUGAUGCACCACUUCAUAAUAACCAAACCACUAUUAUCUUUAGCUGUGCGAGCACAUGGUUUCCAAUCAAAGGGAUGCUAAUUAUUAAUGCUUGUAGUACAAGAGUAGGUGCAUGAGGUGUCUCCCAACACCAACAGCUGGAGCAGUUUAUUUGCUUAUCAGAGCUAGUUUCGCCUUACCGUAACAUGCACGAUUAUUCAGUGAAUUAUUAUUAGAAAAAGUACUCUACUGAAAUUGUUUCAGGCUUAUUUUCUCGACUUAAGUAUAGAUAAAAAUUAGACCAAAUGGAUAGAAAAAAUAAUAUUAUUUUAUACUGCCUUAAGCAUUAACUCGUAUGGUAUCAGCAUAAAAGAUCUCGAGUUUAAAUUUUACUAAAUUUUUAUAAGUAUAAAUAAUUGACCGUCGUUCUUCCGUUGCUUUUGUUUUUUCCUCUUUUCUCUCAUUUUCUUUUCAUAGCAUUCGAAACUGAGUUGACGAUCCUAAACAAACUUUUCCACUCCAUCCAUGCUUUACCUAAUUAAUCUAAAAUUAUGCUCCAAUUAGCUAGAUAUAUUAUUGGAAAUGAAAUACAUGGAUAAAACAAAAGCUUCUUUCUUUCUUUUUUUUUUUAAACUUUGGGCUCGGUUGUACCGUUGCUGCCACAAUGCAGCUGGUCCAAGUUUUUGUGAAAUGAGCCUUGACCACUUUGUGUGGCCCAAAAUUUACUCCUCGUGGCCCACAUGACGCGCGAUUCAAAUUCAAAUACAAAAUUCAAAUUUUUAUUUGAAUUAAAUAUAUGCAUAUGUCUCCCACUUGUCCCUCCUAUUUUUCACUCAAAUUCUUCAACUCCCAGAAGAAACUAUAUGUCUUACACUUUAUUUUCUCAGCUUGUUGUUCGCGAACCAGUCCGUGUUCAACUUGAAAUGGGUUUGAGGUCGACCAUUCGUUUAAUAAACUAAUUUAUUAUUCGCGAGUCAAUUCAUGCUUGACUCGUUUAUUAACGGGCUAAAAGCGAGCUAGCUUUUUCAGUUCGAUAUUUUAACGAGCUCGCAUAAGUUGGGUCUUUCAGCUUGAUAUUUUAGUUCAAUAUAUUAAUGAGCUAGCACAAGUUGGCUUUUUUAACUUGAUAUUUUAAUAGAGUCCUGUCGAAUACGACUGCCCCAGCUCGCACAUGCUUGGCUUGUUGACCGUGGUAGUUUCAGCUAUAUUGUUUCUACGUCUAUUAAAUGACUCACCCAUUUUAACUGGUUAAGCACUAUAAAUACUUAAGUAAAUGAAUAAUUACUUGUGUAGCCUCGUUAUUAAAAAUAUCUUUCCUGUUAAUACACGUUUAGUCAUCUCAGAUUAAAUCUGAGUUAAAUUUUUACUUUUGUUAGAUGUCUCAUUUAAAGAGUAAAUAAGAAAAAUUAGUGACGAUAAAUGUGUAUAUUUAAAAAGAUCAAUUGAUAAUUUUAUAUUGAUAAUGAUUGUCCUUAAUAGUUUACUAAAACUUUGAAAUCUUAAAAAGUAUUUUUAAUAUUAAUCUUUUAAAUGAGUAAAUAAAAAAAUAUGAAAAUUUUCAAAGAUAUAUGAGCAAUUGUUCCUAAAGUAAAAAGUAGGACGGCUACUGCACCAUACGUUUCGUCCUUGGCAAUGUCAAACACUGGGCCACUUAAAUUAGCCCAAGUGGCCCUCAACUGCAUCAAAGUGGUUUAUUUUUUAUUUUUUAUUUUUUAAAUUUUUGUCCCCUCGAAAAAAAAGAGAAAAGGCUCAAUCCUCUAGGCUAAUAAGAACCCACCAAGUAACCUAAUAAUAAAGAGCUGGGCUCGGUCCGGGUCGGGUCUAAGUCGCCGCGCGCGGUCGAAACAAAUCCGAACCACCGGUCAUACUCGGCCUGGCCCACUCGACCGAACCCAACAACACGCAAUUUGACCAGACCCGAUUCGGAAAUUGGCUCGCCGACACUAUAUCAAGCCCAUUGGGCUCCCCAGCCCAUCCCCAAACGAAACCCUCGCCUCCUCUCUCCCGCACCCCCCGACCUCCUCCCCCUCCUCUUCCCCCAUCUAGGGUUAGGGUUUCCGACGGAGGCUCCGACCCCUCUCGAUCUCUGCGGGAUCUCUUUCUCCCUCUCCGUUGAGUUCGAGCGCAUAACCCUGGUAAGAAGAACCCUCUCCGAUCCCUCUCCUCCUUCCUUUUCUCAAAAAUUUAGGGUUUUUCUCUCCCAGAUCUACUGCAAAUCGGAGUUUUUGUAGUUUUUAGGGUUCUGUGUGUAUUUGUGUAUGUGUGUGUUGGAGAUCUGCUGAGAUCUACUAAAAAACGGGUGAUUUGGGAGAAAGAAGAGAUCCGGUGUAGAACGUAAGCCCAAUUUCUUUGUUUUUUUGUUUUUUUUCCCCUUUUUUGGGUAGCCAUGGGCUGUGGAGUUGUGGAAAUUGGAAGAGAUUCGGGGACUAAUUUGUAAACUUCCGCUCGAUCGAGAAAUUUGGGGAAAAUUAGGGCAUCUAAUUGGGCCUAUUUGGGCCGCAUAUGCGUAGAAUGCCCUAGAAGCCCAUUAGAUCGGUUUUACAGGGCGUUUUAGCGUCCCAUUACCCACGUUAUGAUUGUUUUGUAGGCGAUAUUAUGGGCCCAAUGGGCCUUGGGCUUUGAAAUUUCCCGUUGUAGGGUAAAAAAAAAUCUAUGGACCUCCCUGCAUUAUGUGUAACUUUGCAUGCAAUUACUAUUACUUUUUAGGGUUAAUUUCAUACAAGUUCUUGCAAACAUAGUGAAUGACAAAUAUAUCCCUAUAAAGUUCAAUUUUUAUAUGUUGUUCCCGCAAAAGUCUUCAUGGUUUUAAAUAUGUUUCUGCCGUUAGAAUCCGUUAAAAAAGUUUAGUUAACCAUAGUUUAAAUACCUAACUUUGGUUAGUUUUUGACAUUUUUACCCCUCUUAUAUUAUACUAUUAUGGUUUUUGGAGGGUCAUAUUUGUGAUGACAAAAUUGAAAAUAUAAAUAAUUCUCUAACGGUAACGAACCAGAGGAACAUAUUUAAAAUUUUAGAAUUUUUAUAGGGAUAACAUAUGAAAGUUAAACUUUAUAUGGAUAUAUUUGCCAUUCACUAUAUUUGCAGGGACCUGUAUGAAAUUAACCCUACUUUUUAUUAGCACCGAUUGAAACUUUUGAAAUGUGGAAAGUUUAGAAAAUAUAUAUUUCAUGAACUUUGUCCGACUGUUGUUGCAUUUCAUUUAAUCCUACUCCAAUAAUUUUGAAUUAAAUGGAUUGAGAAUUUAUAUGUCAUCUUGGAUAAUAUUCUAUCGAGAACUUUAGUAUAUAACUAGUAUUGAUGCUUUCGAUGGUGAAGUUAUUAUUAAGGAAUGUGAAAUGACUGUUCAUCUUCAAAAGCUUAAGCUAUGUCAGAGAAUGGUGUUUUAAUAUUUUAUAUUCAAUACACUCCGUCGUGUCUAGGCUCGAAAUAUUUUGAGAGGGCGAAAAUGUGGACUUGACAUAAAUAGGAGGAAAUUAAAUGAGAACUAGGGGCUUUUUGGAAUUCAAACUCCGGACUUAGCGCUCUGAUGCCAUAGUAAAGAAUGUGAAGUUAGACGUGAUGCGACAUUAUUAUAGGGCGAAGAUGUGGACGUGAAUUAAAUGGGAGGAAAUUAAAUGAGACUAAGGGCUUGGCAGGAUUCAAACUUAGGACCCCCACCUUCGAUACCAUAUUAAGGAAUGUGCAACAACCGUUUACCUCCAAAAGAAUAAGCUACUAGAAAAUGGUAUUUUAAUAUUUAAUAGUUAUUGCUUUUGUGCAUCUUCAGAUGGUCGAUUUCUUAUCAGAGUGGAUAUGAAGAACUAAAAUGCCGAAACACUUCUUAUGUGGCAUUAAGAUACUAGUAUAUUGUUUUCCCCUUUGAUGACUCUAUUUGAGAGGAAAUCAUCCAACAUAUUGCGAUUUAGGCAACUUAUAUUGCUUUAUCGGAAUUGAGUAUAUAGAAUUUUGAGUGCAAAGUGUGAAAUAUAUGGCUCUAUUUGUUAGGGUGACACUUGGACAGUAGUUACUCCUUUUAAGUUAAUUCUGCUGAUAUGUAGAAAAGGGUGUGUGCUGAGGCGUGCAGGUGUGCCGUGUCAUUUCGGAGGCACACCAGUCAACAGCAUGGCAAUCCUUGAUCACACUAUUUGAUCAACUGUUCUGUUUUAUGCAUAGCAUGUUCUUUGUAAUUUAGGAAAAGUUAGGAGUUAUAUUGAAAUCAAUAGAACUCUAUAGAAAAUACACAGCUUACCUUUGUUAAUUUGGAGGAAUGGUAAUUCCAAAGCUAAAUUGGUUGCGCAGGAUUUGCUGGUUUUGACAUUUAUUUUGGAUGUGCAACUAGUUAUGAAUGAAGGAUGUGAAUGCAUGGGCAUUCUAGUUUUUUUUUUUUUCACGAAGAUUUCUAUUUUAUGAAGUUUUUUCCCCACAAGGAACAUUGUUCUCAUGGGAACCUUUUACAUGGUUUUAGUUUUUCUACAUGCAUCUCUAGGUUUAUUGCUAGAUCAUACCAAAGGUGGAGUGAUUUGUGGGAGAACAGAAGACUCUUGAAUCAAGAAUCCCGGGAAACUUGAUAGUAAAACACAUAAACUGUUUAGACACAGCAUGGCAGAAGCCAGUGACACUGAACUAGUUAGUAAUGAAGAAGUGACCACAACACCGACAGGCAGGCGCAGGAGGAAGAAGUCGAUUGUCUGGGAGCACUUCACCAUUGAGGCCGUGGCGGGGGGUUGCACACGGGCCUGCUGCAAACUCUGCAAGCAAACAUUCGCAUACAGCUCUGGUUCGAAAAUUGCAGGCACUAGCCAUCUUAAAAGACACAUCACAUUGGGCUCCUGCCCCAAAAUCAAAGAUCAAGAAAGGAAGCACCUGGCACUCACUUCAGGUACAAAAACUGAUGGAGACAUGUCAGACCCACCACCCAAGAGGCGGUACAGAAUAUCUGGCUUUGCUAAUGCCUCAUUUGAUCAUGACCGCUCAAUCAGGGAACUUGCAAAGAUGAUCAUCGUGCACGACUACCCGCUUCACAUUGUCGAACACCCUGGUUUCCUUUCUUUUAUCGAAAGCCUACAACCACGGUUAAAAAUGGUAGAUGUUAAUGCAAUUGAAGGAGAAGUUCUAGCCGUUUAUCAGUCGGAGAAACAGAAUCUGAUGCAAGUCCUAGGCACUAUACCAGGUAGGAUCAGCCUCACUAUAGGCCUGUGGACUACAAGCCAAACUCUUGGCUACGUCUCGCUGGCAGGGCAGUUCAUCGAUAAUGAUUGGAAGUUGCACAGAAGGAUGCUCAAUUUCUUGAUGGUGUCUUCUCCGCAUUCAGAAAAUGCACUCAGUGAAGCCAUUGGGUUUAGCCUUUCAGAUUGGAAUUUGAAGACCAAGUUAUUCACCAUCACCUUAGACAAUAACUGCUCGUCACACGAUAUCUACAGUGCAAAUCUCAGAGAUCAUCUCUCUAACAAGAAUGCGCUUACCCUCAAAGGUCAGUUGUUUGUGGUGCGAUGCUAUGGCCAUAUUUUGAACGUAGUUGCUCAGGAUAUAAUUGCAUCAAUUCAUGGUAUCAUAUACAAUAUACGAGAAAGCGUGAAAUUCGUAAAAGCCUCUCCGGCACGAGAAGAGAGAUUUGCAGAGGUAGCCUUGCACCUUGAAAUCCCAAGCACGAAGACCCUUUCCCUUGAUGUAACUACGCAGUGGAACACAACUUACCUCAUGCUGCUUGCUGCUUUGGAAUACAAACAAGCAUUCACUGUCUUGGAAACUUGUGACGAUCACUACAACGAAGCACCAUCAUCCGAUGACUGGAAGAAGGUGGAGACUGUUUGCAUAUUCUUGAAGCUUUUAUAUGACUCUGCAAAUGUCAUCAUUUCAACACCAGAGCCAACAUCAAAUAUAUUCUUCCACGAAGUGUGGAAAAUUCUCCUAGAGCUGAGUAAUGCGAUAUCGAGCGAAGAUGCUGUGGUAAGUGGGAUUGCUAAAGAGAUGCACGAGAAGUUUGACAAAUAUUGGAAAGACUGCAACCUUGUAUUGGCAAUCGCGGUGGUUAUGGACCCACGUUUCAAGAUGAGGCUUGUGGAGUUCAGUUUCUCCAAAAUAUAUGGUGCGGACUCAGCUAGGUAUGUCAAGUUGGUUGAUGAUAGUAUUCAUGAGCUUUAUCAAGAAUAUGUUGCCCAGCCACUUCCAUUAACCCCAGCUUAUGUCGAACAAGGGGAAAUGAAUAACAUUAAUGUCACCGAGAAUAAUGCCACUGAGAGUAAUGCCACCGAGAAUAAUGAUAAUAAUAAUAAUAAUCAGCCAACAACCCCAAUUCCUACUGGGGACGGGCUUCUAGAUUUUGAUCUCUAUCUCUCAGAGAUGGCCAUAAACCAACCGACCAAGUCCGAGUUAGAACAGUAUCUGGAAGAGUCCCUCCUACCGCGGAUCCAAGAGUUUGAUAUUCUGAACUGGUGGAAGCUCAAUACUAUCAAGUAUCCGACACUGUCAAAGAUGGCUCGGGAUGUGUUGGCUAUUCCGAUCUCCAUGGCGAGCACGAGCUCCUCCAUAUUUGGCACCGGAGCGGGUAACCGAGUGCUCGACGAGUACCGGAGCUUGUUGCGGCCUGAGACGGUGCAGGCGCUUUUCUGUGCGAAGGAUUGGCUUCAGUACUUGCCCACCGGAGUGGAGCCACCGUCGUCGGCCGUCGUCAAAAUGGAGAUCUAGUUCAUGCCCCAAGUGUUUUCCUCUUUCCCUCGUCGCCACACCAUGUUUGGCAUGUAUAAGUUAAUGGCUCAGAAUUCUAUGACAGGAGGAGGAUCUAGUUUCUUCAGCGUUUUUUUUUUUUAUUUUUCUUGUUGGGAAGCGAAGUUGUGUUUGUAGGUUUUAAUUGUGUUGUUGUAAUGUUUGGUCAAUCUAUUAGAGACUUGGAUGUUAGGAGAGUAAUUAGUUACUGUUGUAAUAUUACAUCUGCUGGUUUUUAUUGCAUGUUAUAAAAUGAUCAUGGAUACUGUUCAUGACUUACUUAGGAGCUUGUUAAAGGAUGUGGGUUGAUGAUAUGUGCUUUUAUUGCUGUGAUAAUUUGUUGUGGGAAGGGCAUGAGCACCUGCACCGUACCAGCAAUUUCGAAACUAUUUCGCUUAAUAUCAUAGCUUUUGAGAAAUUAUUAUAUGGGCUAUGCUUAAGUGUCCUCUUCGAAUUUGUUUUUAAAAAAAAAAAAAAAAAAAAAAAAAAAUUGUGUCUGAGCUCUAUAUGGAGAUAUUGUCAAACAUCAUCACGAUAUUUUGAAUUUUUUUAAUUUUUAAAAUAAUUCUUUUAAAAUUUUAUUUGACUAACCGACCUAAAGAAUCCAAUGAAUCGUUUAUCGUCUUUAGAAAGAGAAGAAUGUUUCGUCGUUUUCAUAUUCUUUUUAUAAGUUAUGAGAUUUUUUUUGAGCUCAUUAAAAUUGAAUGAAAAUUAUUAGAAUUUUUAUUUAAUUGUUACAAUUAUAUGAAUAAGUUGUUAAGAUUAUAUAUAAUCUGAUUGUUAAAAUUAUAUAUAAAAAAUAAAAAAUAAUAAAUUAUUCAUUAUUUUAUUUUUUUUUUCUAAAAAAAAUUGAUGAAUCAUUCACGGUCUAAAAAAUAACGUAAAGACAAUGAAUCACUCACCGUCUUCUAAAUUGCAUUAAAAGAAAAAUAAUUAACCCUUUUUUUAAUUUUUGUUUAAUUUAUACUAAAAUAUGAUUAUUUAAAUAAUUAUAAAUUUUGAAACGGGUAAAAUUACAAAGAGUCUCCACCAGAGUCAACCCAGUAAUCACAUCCUCGACAUAAAUGAUGUAAUGAAAGUAUGAAACUGAAGUAAUUUGAAAAGGCAAGGCACAAAACAUUACACAUGUUUUGCUAUAAAAAAAAGAGGAGGGGAAAUAUAAUAUAAUAUUACAUCAUGACUGGGAAGGUCUAUUUAUUGAAACCACAGCACUUGUCAGAUCGUCAAGGAAACUAACAAAACCACGUACACACAUUUCUUUAUUUAAAGUUUUAAACCUUUCUGUGCUUUCAUUACCAUUGAAAUUAAAUUUCACUCAAAGCUUAAUAAUGUGUAUAAGUUCAGAAAAGGGGAUCAAUAUAUUAUGCGUCAGAUCAAGGAAGGGGCUUCAUCUCCUGCUUGAUAGCUGCAACAAGCUGGUCGUAAGCUUCUCCCCAUGCAUUCUUCAUUUCCGGGCUCCACAUUUCCGGCACUGCCUCCUUUAUCACCUCCAACAGUGCGAACCGCGUCACCUGCGAUGCACCCAUCACAAGAAUCAGUAAUCAUCAAUCAAAGCGCGCGCUAACAAAAUAAAGAUUUAUAUUUACAAAAAAAAAUACAAGAAAGUGAAAUAGAGAUUCAAGAACUGGUUCUAUCCACCGCAAUUCAGCAUCUAUACAUUCUGCUGUUACUGCAGCUUUUAUGUUCAGAAACCGAUCGAACAUAAAGCUGUACAGAAAUUAACCAAUCUUUUUGACCUCUUCUCUGUAGAAAGGAAUUAAUGAAUGGCGAGAAACUUUGAGAAGAACAUUGCACUGGAUCCUACCUCAAAGUGUCCGUCGACGACACCCGACUUGUAGUGCAUGGUGCCGAGCUUCUUCAGCGUCGUCUCUCUCACCGUCACCUUCCCUGCUUUACGGAGUUGCGCUGCUGAUUCGCACGUCUGUUGAGAAUCAAAUAAUGUACGCACAUCCAUUAUAUCUUUUCGAUCGCCAAAAACAGAACAAUAGCGCAGAGAUACUUGAAAAAGAAGAGAUAUGAACAUACCAUAACAAAAACCGACAUAGCAUGGGCCUUGAGCUUGGGGUUCUUAUCGAGCGGCACGUUGGAGUCGCGAAGAUAGGGGAAGAGCUGGCUGGCCGACGGUGCAAUUUCGAAGAUCCUAACAAAUACACAUACGCAUAUACGUAAACAUAUAAGUAUGAAGCAAUCAACUAACAUGCACAUUUACAUGCAUAUAUAUAUAUAUAUAUUUACGUACUUCAAGAAGAACUUCAAUCCUAACUCCGCAGCGUUCUUCUUCAUCACCUUCCAUGAUUCCACCACGAGCGCUUCCUGCUCUACGGUGAAUCCUCUCGACUCCGAUUUGCCGCAUCCCUCAGAUAGAGCCAUCUUCAAGAAUCUUCGUAAUUUUACCUCUUGUUUUGACUACUAGUAUAGAUAUAUAUAUUUAUUAGUUCUAUUUUGUUGAUGCAUGUACAAUAUAUAUAGUGGUGCUAGAGGUGGUGCAGAAGCGGCUUUUCGGCGAAGUGGAAAGGCAAGCAAGAAGCAGAAGCAAAAGCAGAAGCAAAUUCAUAAUUGGAUUGAUUAGCAGUUGGGCAGAAACCAUGGGCUGAAAACCAUAGUGGGUGGAUUUGUCUUACACUGUUGGCUGCCAAGCCGCCAAUAAAGAAAAGUGCCUGCGGAAGAAUCCUGGGAUAAGUAAUAAAUUAGUUGAAUAUGUACAUCGUUAUCUUGCUGAUCUUCGGCUUUUCAGGAUGUCCAAAGGGCCAAAUGCAGACCACCACUGUAAUGUGUACUGUUUGUGCUUUUAGAUUCGAACCGAUAGACUGAUCGACAACAGUGAUUCUGUCAUGGCGAAGCCACCUCAUGGGAUUUUUAUUACCUUCAAAUGUAAUUUCUUAGGCAAACUUUUCGAAUGAAACAUGACAACAUCUGACAUAUAUAUAGCAUCCCAAAAUUACAAUUUAUAUGCCUCCUUUACUUUUACAAAAGCGGCAUAUCCUCAAUUAUCUCCGGUCACUGGAUCAAACCAAAGCUCAAUGAAAGGCUAAUCGACUUUCUUACACUCGUCAUUUUGAAAAUCACCCACGUUAACGGGGCCAACCGAUCAAAACUAACUGAUUGUUCUUACACCAACAAUAAAAUUUGUCGGAGGUUCGUGCGCGCAUCAAAACUGAUAUACGUGUCGGUCUCUGCGAAACUAGGCCAUCUCCGGCUCUUCAGCUCUUCCCCUUCUCCACCUUCCUCUUACUUACCUCGUCAACGUCGACAGUGAUGCGGAAAAUGUAAUCCUCACUCUCCAUCUCCUCAUGCAACAAACUGACGGUUGGAGUGUCGACAAACCUCUUGCUUUGGAUCCGCUCGCUGCUAUUCGAUAUUCUCUUCCCCUUCCUAAGGGUAUAGAAGAAAUAGUGGAACGCUUCCCCGAAUGUGUCCCAUUCAACAGACCACGUUAAUCCUGGGGCUUCUAAGAAUGGCCGGCGCAAGUGCGGCUGCAGAGAGAAAAAGAUCACAUAGGGAAAUGAAAUGAGGAAGCACAGAGAUCAGGUAUCUUUCUACCUGUCCAAAGGUAAUGGAAAUGAAAGUGCCUUCCGGUUUCAAGACCUUGUGAACUCCUUCGAGCAUUUUCGUCACCUUAUUUACUAUUUCAGGAUGGGGAUUCCACGGAUCGCCGCUGUCCACGAACAAUACCUCCUUUCAAAAGGAAUGCUUAUGCAUGAGUAGUCUAAUGGAAGCAUUUGACAGAUAAGAGCAUAAGAACUAUAACACCCAGGGAUUCAUCAAACUAAUUCUGAUCACUCUAGAGACCUCGAAAAUAACGUGCUUCAUUAUGCAUGUUAACCGCAUUCAUUAGAGAGAAAAAUCAACAUUUUUUUCUUAGGAAGGAUAGGAUGAGAAAGUUGUGGAGACUGAUGCUCCCCGCAUGUAAAACUGGAAUAGAGGACAAAAACAUGGUAAAUGGCACCCAUAACUUAGGUUAAAAAAAGAGGGGCAAAAUAAGUAUAUAAGAGCAUGGAAUUAAGCAUCACUGUUGAUCUCCCGCAUUGGCCACGCCAAGCCAUCCUCUCUCACUAACGGCAAGGUCGACAAAUCAAGAUUAUUAUUUCCCGCCCUUGACUUACUCGAAAAAGAGAAGAGAGAGCAACAUAUUUUUUGGAGAACAGCUCGUUAGAGGUACGGCAAAAUGCAAGGGAAGAGAGGAAAAGAAGAGGUUACGGAAAGCUGGAAAGGAAGAUCCUAAUGUAACUCUUGCUGUUUCUUUCUUUUCUCUUUGUCGCUUCACAAAAAAUUAAGGAAAGGAAUGAAGGGUUUCCCACUAAGAAUAACUUGUCUAAGAGGCUGGAUUUGAAAGUCUUCUAAAACAGGGAUCUUCGAAUGUAACAUUUCGAUCGCACAUCAAAGAACACAAAAGGAUCAAAAUAAGACAUUAUUACUGUUACGUGCUCAAAAUUUCCUUUUUCUUUUGCAUCAAAAUGAGUAAUUAGAACUUAAUAAUGAGCCUACGACCACAAGAGCAAAAAAAGAUUGGAAUUGAAAACGGAGAUGGUGAGGGCGCCUCAGCUGACAUACCAUUGUUCCUUUCUCAAUCACUAUAUCAAAGGAUUCGGAGUCAAAAGGCAGGUCUAGCAUGUCGGCGACAACAACUUUGAUUCCUGCAAGGGAAGAGAAAUAGCCAGAGUUCAUUACUCGGGAAAGAGUAUGACAAGCUCGUACUUAAGCGCAUGUUUGUCUCCACUACAAUUGUUCGAUAAAGUGCUAGAAAAAGCAUUAUCUUAAAUUCCUCCAUAAAACUUUUCUAUUCGCCAGACGCUCCAUUACAAGUAAUUGCAACCGAAAGCAGAAGCACGUCCAAACAAUCCUAUAAUAAGUUCACUCUAAUCACUUCUCUCUAUAGCAGAAUCAGAAGGUGCAGGAGGGGAACUUCUUCUACUAUUAGGCCUCAAAUUUUUUUUUUUUUUUCCUUUAAUCAUUUCUGCUACAGCAAAAGCUCUAAACUUUGAUAACUGCAACUAGAAGCAGAAGCGGAAUCAGGUUACCGCCGAGGCCCCGAUCCGCCAAGCGCUUCCGCAUCCUCUGGACGGCGACGGGGGAGAGGUCGACGCAGGUGAUGUCGACGACGCCUUCGCGGCGGAGCUCCUCGCACAGCCGCGAGUUCCCGCUCCCGAGCUCCAAUACCUACCCAGAAGCAAAAGAAAAUAGAAAGAAGGAGAGAAAGAGAAGGUUAUCAGCCAAGGGUUUAGGGUUAGGGUUAGGGUUAGGGUUAGGGUUUGGGAGGAAGAGGCGUACGGAGAGGGAGGGGGAGAGGAGGGGGCGGAGGAGGUGGCGGAAGUGGGAGUAGUCCUUGCACCACUCGUAGUGCUCCUCCGACGAGAAUCGCUCGUCCCUUUUCUCGAUCAAUUUUUCCCAAUUAAAACAAAAAAGGAAAAUUAAUCCCAUAAAUUUAAAAAUAAAGCGGAAAAAAGAGGAAUUAUAAGAAAAAAAAAAUGGUCACCAGUAGCGAGGAUCGAGAUACGCGGCGGCGGUGCCCGGCGCGACCUCCGCCACCUCCGCCGCCGCCGCCGCCGUGCGCUCGUGACUCUCCGCCGCCGACAUUGUCGAAACCCUAGCGGCCAAAUUCCUAAACCGAGGGGGACGGGGUUAACACGCGACGCCUCGUUAUCGUGCCCCAAAUUGCUGGACUUGGUCCACCACGUCACCCGUUGACUGCCUGGUCAAAGUUCCACAUCCUCACAACAUCAAAAAAAAAAAAAAAAAAAAAUGGUGUAUCGCGUUGAAUCACUGGUGUUCUGGUUAUUGCUGGCCUUGAAGAUCAAUUAAAUCCCGCUCUGGUGGCGACUAAUAACAUCGUGUGGAAAUUGGAUGCGAAUUAGUGAUUAAUCUUGUUUAUGAGAUUAAAAAAUGUAGUAAUUAUAGCAUUUGUAGCUACAAGAAAUAUAACUUUUUGGCGUUUGUAUGAGAUACGUAAAUAAAUAGAAUCAGUUUAUCCGUUUUUGAUUACACGAUACAAAAGAAUACAAUUUUUGGUACAUUUAAUUUCGCACGUCACAGGAUUCACCUCGCAAGCGAUUCCCUCCCACUGCUGAAGCUUUGAGAAUCUGACGAGCUGUUCCAGCUCUCUAACAUUGCAGAUACUUUCGACAGAGACUGAGCAACUUCUCCCAUACUCGGCCUACUCCGCGCGUCCCGCCGUAAGCAUUUCUCAAUCAAUUCAACCAUAAACAUCGCUGAAUCCACAGUAUAAUUCCAUUCCAGUGAUUGAUCUAUGAAUCCCUUUAUCUCCUCCCCCGCGACGGUUUCUCCUCCUCUGAGCAGUUCAGUUACAGCAUCCCUUCCUACUUCAGAAGCCUCCCUCCCCGUGAUCAUCUCCAUUAGAACAACGCCAAAUGCGUAAACAUCGAUUUUGGGGGAUACCAAUCCGUGCUCAAUGUACUCUGGGGCCAUGUGACUGCUCUUCCCCACGAUGUGCGUCGUCAGCGCGAAAUCUCCUUCCUCCUCUUGCGCUGGUCUUGCGCGGCUGAAAUUCGAAAUCUUAGCGCGAAAAUUCGAGUCCAGAAGAAUGUUAGUGCAGCAGAUAUCCAUGUGCACGUACGCGGGUUUACAGAAGCUGUGCAGGUAGUGGAGCCCCUCGGCGACAUCUAAAGCCACGAGCACUCGUCGGCGCCAGUUCAGGGCCGCAGAGAAACCAUCACUUGAUUUGAAUAGCCAUUUGCUCAGACGCCCGUUUUGGGCCUGUUCAUGCACAAGGUACCAGUAGCCUUUGUUGAAGCACAGGCCAUGAAGCUUGUUCAAGUUGAAGUGACUGAUCUGUUUGAGUACGCUGAUCUGCGCAGUCACGUCUCCGUCCACCUUUCGGACGGCGACGGCCUCCCCGUCGAGCACGGCACGAUACGACGACCCCCCGUCGAUCUGGCGCUCCGAGCUGAAGUUCUCCGUGGCGGUCUUCAGAUCUCUGAACUUGUAGAUCUUAAGAGAAGGCCUGAUGCCGGAAAUGCGGGAUCGAAUGUCGCUGGACGAAUCAGCGUUGUCCGCAGUUACGAUCGCUGGCGGCGUACUUCCCCGAUCGUCUUUGUAAUUGAUCUUGGAUUCGUCUGCGCGGAUACCUCCGUAAGUUCUCUUCUUGCUGGCCUUCAGAAUAGCAAGAACCAGUGGUGCAGCUGCUGCUACAACAAGAGCAGCUGCUGCAACUCCAGCCACUGCAAAAAUCCAACCGCGCUUCGAGCUCUUGUGCGUGGGGGGAGACGCAGCGGUCAGGGGCGGCGGGGGCGGUGAAGCGCUUAUGAGCUGAGACGCGUUGGGCGGAUUACUGAGAGGAAUGAGGAGAGUGGUGAAGGGAUAGAUAUUAUUAGAAUUCGACAACGCAUUAGCAUCCAAGAUGCUCUGCUGCUGCACCCCAAACAUUCGGCUGAUGAUGUAAAUGGUAUCGCCGGGAUCGACCAAAUAACUCAUCAAAUACUUCACGCCAUUGCGGGUCUGAUUGCUGGAAGGGCAAGCGCAUCGCAGCGGGACGGUGAUAUUCGCUCCGGAUAACACGAACCCGGUGGAGGAAAUGUUGUUUAGAUUUCGAGCUGUAAUGGCCUGGCACGUCGACAGCGCCUGAAAAGUGUUGUUGGCAAUCAAGAAAGCGGUGUCGCCGCCUUUCACGGUGUAAGGCGCGUCGGACUGGUAGUAGCCGUCGGAGCAGGAGCAGGCGACAGGGACGGAGAGUUUGGCGCCAAUGGGGAACGCGGAGGAGGCGCUGGGGAGGGAAUUGGAUUGGGAGAGGAGGGAGGGGUUGGCGGCAAGGAGGGAUGAGACGGCGGCGACGGAGUCGUAGGGGGGGAGGGCGCGGAAGGUGAGGUAGGUGGAGCAAGAUGGGGAGCGAGGAGCGCAGAAGUAGCCGAGGAGGGAGGUCGAAUUGUGCGGGUUUUCGCAGUCUGUCGUGGCGAGGCCCUCGUAGGGUUGUUGGGGGUGGACAUGGAGAAUGGUGGAGGAAGAAAGGAAGAAGAAGAGGAGGAGGAGGAAGGAGGGAGAACGAGGAGCCAUUAGUGUUUGAGGUAUAUGUGGGGGGAGGGAAUGGUGGAGUUUGAAUUAUCAAUUCAACAGGGCAAAAUGUAUGAUACUCCACAUGGUAUCAAGAUAUUGCAUUUUAGUUUCUUUACUNGCGGGUUUUCGCAGUCUGUCGUGGCGAGGCCCUCGUAGGGUUGUUGGGGGUGGACAUGGAGAAUGGUGGAGGAAGAAAGGAAGAAGAAGAGGAGGAGGGGGGAUGGCUAAUAAGUAUGUAUGAGUAAUUGUAGAAUUUGACUUGGGAGGGAAUGGUGGAGUUUGAAUUAUCAAUUCAACAGGGCAAAAUGUAUGAUACUCCACAUGGUAUCAAGAUAUUGCAUUUUAGUUUCUUUACUUUUCGCCUAUAUUAAUCCUAUUCUUCACUGACGGUCCUUAAGGCAAAGAGCAAAGGGCUUGAUGGUUGGUACUUGAGGUUCUAAGUUCGAAUCCUAGUUGAUUCAUAUUUCUAGCUAAAUAUAUUUCUAAAUGAAAUAAACGAAGCGGGUAGCGUACUAUUUAUCUCUCUCUCUCAAAAAAAAAGAAAAUCCUAUUUUCUGAAAAAUAACCGGCGGCUAGCCUAGCGGUUGUUAUUCGGAUUGUUAUUCUUAAGAUUGGAGUAUAAUUUCUAGUUCUGCUUUCACUUUUUACAGAAAUAUGUUAAUUACUUUAUUGAAAGGAAAAAAAAAAUUUAUUAUGUAAGAGAAAUAUAUAAUUUUCUAUAUUGAAGUGUUUUAAGUUAAAAUAAAAGGACCAGAGUGUAGCAUCAAGAUUGUACAGGGGCCAACCAUUACCUUUUGACCCUUUUGAUUAAGGAGCCAUUGUGGACUCUUUCUUUAGUCUACUUUAGUAAGGUCAAACACUCAAAUGCUAGAGAAAUGUUUUUCAAAAAGAAUGUGUUUGUUUCCUCAGUAUGAAAAUAAAAGAGUUUGAGGCUCAUUAAAAAUUCAUCUCCCAAGAAAUAAAAAAUAAUAGAAGGUGGUGGGGUUGAUUGAGACAUGCAUGUAACUCUUCCUUGUAUACACUUGUUGAAAAAACUCGUGCAUUGUUUACUAUUUCAAUGUGUUCAAUCAUGCAUUGUUGAACUAAAACUUGUCAAACCUUUAAAGCAGAUCAUGAUGCUUCUUUUUAUUGAUUUACUUUUAAGUAAAAUGUAGGGUUAGUACCACUAUUGUCCUGUAUUACAAAUUUAUCCUUACCACUUCUUGCUGUGUAUAGAUUAAAACGCAACAAUCAUUAAAGUUUAGAGAUUAAAAUGUGUAAAUAAACAAUACAUAGAUGAACUUGGAAUGUGGAGAUAGUACAAGGACAAUUCGUAUAUUUUACGUUUUAUAUUUUCUAAAGUUCCUAUUAUAGUUGAAGAUGCCAAAGAGGAAGAAAUUUUGGAAACCAAAACAGUGAAAGAAAAUAAUAAAAAGUACUUGAGAUAUCAAUCCCAUAACAUCAAGUUGACCCCUAUCAUUAAAAACAGUAAAGCAAAAGAGUUCUCGAGCUAUCAAUCCCAAAUCGUAAAGUUGGACCUCAUCCCAAAUCACAAUGCUUCCUUAUGAGAGAAGGAUAGCCUUUUUUCUUUUCUUUUUUUUUAAGUACUGCUUAUUUUAAAAAUGCCACAUAGUUGAGGGGGUCUCAGCACAUAAGAAAUAUAUGAUAGGAUCAGAUACACACAGAGAGCUAAACAAUGGAGACAUUAUUUUCUCAUAAGGGGAACAUUUUACAUGUCCAUCAUGUGCACAAUAAGAAGAAAAGAAAUGGUGAAAUUAACCAUGUCAUGUAAACAUGUGCAAGUUUACUCAUACAACACUUUGCAUCAAUUCUUACACCGAGAAACGAUGAAAUAAGCAGUUGCUUCACAGGGGCUUUCCAUUAAGCCACCUCCGAACCAUGGCCAAACACUCCUUAGGCCGGUACUCUGGUGCCGUGUGACCGCCACCCUACACCACAGCACAAACAACUUCGCAUAAAAUCCGACUCUUAUAUAGUAUUGACUUAGAAAUGUGUAGAAUAAUGAGCCAAAAGCUGUAGACCAUUUUGAAAUAUGCCUCUAAACUCUACUUAUUGUUUCCUUGUUUCAUUGACAUCCCCUCAAAUUUCAUUCGCUUACCCAUUGUUUUCUUGUUUCAUUGACAUCCCCUCAAAUUUCAUUCGCUUUAAUUUGAGUGAUAUGAGUCAGUAGGAUUCAAGAAGUUAAAUUAAGAGCAAUUUUGAUAGCUCUCAUCGCUUUUCAGCUGAAGAAGUGCGAAUUCUGGUAGUAGUUAACUAUCAAUAGUUCUCUGAAAUUGCUCAAAUUAAAAGAAAUAAUAGUUAAGAGGGAGUCAAAAAAAAAAAAAUGAAGUUUAUGAGCUUUUUAACAUAGCCUAUAGUUGAGGGGGUCAUUACUCGUAAUACCCCGUCGCCUAAUCUUAAUGUCCACGAGCAAUUUAAGGCAGGCAAAAGAUUUUUACCUUUACAGUCGCAAACGUCAUGUUGUUGGCGUACGUGAUUGUGAAUCUAAAGCAUCAGCACCAAAAUCUUAUUAGCUAGAGGCAAUUAAAUUUCUUAAUUAACAAGAGUCAAAUUCUUUUUUUUCCUGACAAAGUAAAGAGCUCACCCUGCAGCUUGGCCAUCAACAUCCCAUGAUCUCCAGUCAUCCACUAUGGAGAAGUUGAGGGAUCUUAUCCAAGCCUGUGUUCCCAGAAAUGGCACAACCAUGUCGUGAUCACCGCUAAAGAAGAAGAAGAAGAAGAAGAAGAAAUAAGCAAACAAAUAGUUGAAACAUUCAUAUCAAUAACAGGUCUAUUCAUGGCUCUCACCUGUAUACAAGAGCACGGUAACCUCUUCUGGUGAGGUUAUAGUGAUACUUUAUGCUACUAUCAAGAUCUUUAGUAUAAGGAAGCACUUUUUCGCACCUCACCCACUCCUUAACUGUUCCCUGCUACCAUUGUCAGUUGCUAACAAUAAGGAAUUCCCAAUAAAAUCACAUAAAUUACUAGUUAUUUGUCCAAUUAAACUUGUAUAAUGUAAACACACUUUCAAUUGGUUAUUCUAGGCUAAGCAAUGACUUAUUUUGAGUUAUAGAUACUCGAAUACAUAUCUCUCAUCAACCUUGUGUAGUUUACAUGUAUGCCUUAUUGCCUUAUAAUAAAAUUAUACUUUCUAUAUGGCAGUGUUAGAUGCAACAAUCACUCGUUCGGUGAUUUUGGCAUAAAUAAACAUGAGGGGUACAUGCAAUCACUUGUAAAUUUUACCUUUUUUACGUUCAAAGCCUCUCUCGUGCGAUUGUCGUUUGCCCAAUAAUACGAUAAGAAAUAAGCGUAAGACUGCAUGAAGAAUAUCAACAAUGAGUGACGUACUAAGAGAAUUUUCUCGACUUAACUCUAGUGCAAAAGAUACAAAAGGGAAGAUGCACUCAAACACCAGGAUGUAUAUAUACUGCUUCCAUGUUUACAUGGAAGUGUGCAUUUCCAAUAGUGUAGUAGUAAUAAAGAUUCACUUACUCUACAUUCCAAUGGAGGAACCUCUGGUGGACUAGAUAAUUUGGCGUUCUCUCCCUUAAGAUACCUUCUACUUUCGCUUGUAAUUUCCGGUUUUGGGGAUACUAAAAUGCAUUUUCGUUCCAAAACCUGAGCCUUCUCAACUUUAUCCAUAAGCUGCAUGAGAGCAUCACAAAUUCAUUUUGUUGAUAGCAAAUAGUUGGAAUAUGAAAAUCCAGUUUACUGUUGUAUUGUAGUAAACUAAUGUUUGAGAUAAGAAAAGUUUGAUGAGUAAAGAUCUCCGGACCUCUUCAACAGUUUCUAGCACCUGAGCACAUAGCCUGUUACGAGGAUUUCCAUAAUCUUCUCCUUGGCAAUUUUUCUGUGUUAACUGAAAAGGCCAGAACUAUGUCAAUGAACGAUUUUACGACAGUUUGUAUCGUAAGUUCUCGAGGGAAUCACCUCAUAGAGUUGAUCUGAUAUGAUUCCCAUACCAUGAGCAUAUGGGACUUUAUAAUUGUUAUCAUACUUUUCGCCUGUGCCGGGGUUGCCAAUCAGAUAGCCCUGAAAGCAGUCAAACCACAAAGGUUUCCAGAAAAGAAUCUUUAACUUCAGAUUAUUCAGAUAAUCAUAUUCUCAGUGUAUUAAUAAGUUGGCACUCACAAAUGCUCGAACAUUAGCAGAACCAAGAGUAACCUUGACAUAUUAUAACCAUUGUACAUUAACUUCAGCAGAAAGCAUUCUUUCUUAACAAAAACAAAAGUUGGUUUAUCAACUGCCGCAAAAUUAUGAGUACUAGAGUGCUACUUCAGUGUGCUACUUUAUUUUGCGGCAGUUGAUAAACUUAGGAAAAUCAUUGAUAAAUUAUUGAUAACCAAUCAUUUUGCGGCAGUUGAUCAACUUAGGAAAUCGUUCAUACAUCACAGUCAACCUUGCAGGUUAAAAUACAUACCUUUAGAUUAAGACGUGGUUGCUGUCCAGAUUCAAUACCUGCUUGCCAUUCAGUUACUAUACAUUAGCAUUUUAACAACAAACAAUCAUGAAGAGGUUAAAAAAAAAAAAAGAAAAUUAGGUUGCUAGAUAGUGAGAACUAGAAUAAAAGUGUUUGUUGAAAGAAUGUGCGUCAUAUAAUCAAAUCGAUUAGGAAGCAUACAAGAACAUUUCAGCGGCAAAAAAUUAUCAUUUUCUGGUACUACAGCAUGCAAAGAGAGAGUAUAAGUUUACCUUCCGAAAUUAUUUGCGCGAUUAAUGGAGCAACCUUACCAGCGUAAGAAUCACCGGCAACAUAGAAAGGAUUGGACAGGAAUUGUGGGUGAUCGCUGAACCACUGCAUCACAAAAAGGGGCAGCAAAACUGUAAAGGCAACAAAUUUAUACAGUUUUCAGUUAGGAAUCAAUCAAAUAAAAAAUAUAUAUAUGUAUACACCUUCUUGAUGAAAGUGUAGACUUGCAUCGACGAAGAUAUAUCUCCUACGUCGUAUCCUUCCAUUUGUUUUGAAAAGGAAAAACCAGAGCCAACAGGAGAAUCAAGAAAGAUGAUGCUUGAGACCUAAAAGUCAUUGCUUAUUGAUAAAAACGAUGAAGAGCGACAUGAAACAAGUGGAAAGGACAGAGAAAGGGCAUCUCACUUUUGUCCAAGAAUAUGGGAAAUACACCAAACUUGGUAAGCUCCCAUUGUACUCAGCUGUCACAAAUUUCAGAGGACCUACGAGAGAAACAUGAAGAACUUAACCAAAUUUCAUAUCUUUAUGGUAAUUUCAAAAGCAAGCAACUUUGCGAUAACCGAAAACUAAUUCAUGCUGGAAUUGACUCCCAGAUGUUGGGAUCUCAAUAUAGAUUGAACUGUUGCAUCCAAAAGGCCUAACUUACUCUCGAAAACUAUGUUGCAGAUAACUAAUUUUACUCAAAGAAUAGUUAAUUCCUCUUAUACAUUGAUUUUUUGGAAUACUUGUUCGAAUCAUGUGAUUUCUCGUUUGUAAGUCUUGUAGCUGUUAUACAAUUUUACAUCCGAACGGAUUAGAUUUCAAUUGGAAGUCAAUUAUCUAUGUUGUACCCGGAUAAUGCGGUGCACCAUUUGUACCCAACAUUUUCUUACAUCCCCCUUCCUUCGUGUCGACACGACAAUUACAGCUGUUAUGACAAGUGCACAAACAGAAACGACAAAAGGCGAUUGCAAAGUAGACAAAACCACAUAAACAAUAAAAUAAAUGGAACAUACAAGAAUUUAUGUGGAAAACCCUUUACAGGGAAAAAAAUCACAGGUGAAGGAGGAGAGAACUUCACUAUGAAAAAAGGAGUACAAAACUUUUGGGUGUGUACAAUAAUGUAUCACGUCUAGGGCAAAAAGAAGAAGGAAAUUCUUAACGAGUUUGUGCAUUAUCGGGCCUAUCGGCCCAGGCCCUCCGCUACCCACCACAUACAUCCAAUUUUUUUUCUUGACAAAAGAUUUUCCAAAUUUGUCGCACCACGAAACUAUCGACGACGCCCAAAAUCGAAGUCGAUAACUAAAUUUUGAGUCACAUCUAACAACAACAGUGAUUUAGGACAUUGCGUCACUGUCCCAUAAGCAAUUUCGCAGAUUCUGUCGGACUCAAAGUUGAGUGUGUCGGAUCGUUGGCGCUAACCAUUAAUCCCAAAAGCUCGAGCUGUUAGAAAUACGCAACUAAUUCACUUAAAACGUACAGAUACAGCACCCACAGGUCUCGAUUGUGACUCGGCCCUACCAACUUCACGCCAUUUUGAACAUGACUCAGCCCACCAAGCCUCACGCCAUUUCGAAUAUGACUCGGCCCAACAUAGCCUCCCGCUACUGGGCAGAAUAUUGGCCAAUUUAAGCCAACAGAGUGCAGGACGGGGUUGCAACUUCCUAAAAAAAAUUUGGGACCACUAACAGGACCACAUAUUGCACUCACACAGAGAGGCAAAAAGAUUAAGCCAUGCCACAACAAUAAUCCAUACGGCCUACUAAUUGAAUCUUCGGAAAUUAAAAGUUUCAAAUUAAGUUGAAACUCUUGUCACACUUUUGUGCCUCCAUUUAACUACUAAUCGUUCCAGUCUUAUUUAAUUAACUGUGAUAAAAACAAAAAAAGAAAACCUAUUUCGAAGACGAGUCCACUGAAGGCGGAGCAGCGGGGCCCGCCGGUGAGCCAGAGGACGAGCGGGUCGUCGCGGGGCCUCCCCUCCGACUCCACGAAGUAGUAGAACAGCUCCACCCCCUUCUCCUCAUCCACCCCCACAUACCUAUACAUAUUUACAUCCACGUUCUCAAAUUUAAAUCGAUUUGAUUCAAAUUCGAUCUGAAUUUGAAUUCGCGCUCACCCGGUUUCGAAGCGGAAGGGGAGGCGGCCGUCGAAGCCCGGGAGGUGAGUCACGAGCGUCGCGGCGCCGGCGGCGCCGGCGGCGACGGCGACGGCGACGGCGACGGCGGGGGGAGGGGAGAAGAGGAAGGAGAUAAAUAGAGGAAGAAGGAGAAGAGGAGGCCGCAUAGUUAGCAAAAAAAUCUAGUACGUGCACGGCUGAAAAGUAGGUAGCGGUGGUCUUUUAUAGGAAGCAAGUGAUAAUACGCAAGUGCACUGCUUCCCUCAGCUCGUGAAAAUUGUUGGAAUUGACAGUGACCUGUUCCCUUUAGGCCGCUGGGUUUAUUCUAUUUAGGAUAUAAUAGUACUUUUGUACUUUUUUUAUAAUUUUAAUAGUCUAUAGUUUGUAAUGUAUAGCUUUAGUAUCCUGUAACUCUCUUAUUCUCUUUCGAUCGGCAUCUUCAUUAAUUCUCCGUUAAAUCAUAUAUAUUUUAAAUAUAUUAUUUAUAAUUUAUUAAAUAUUUAUUUUAGUACUUUAAUAUAAUUUAUCGAUUUAUUUUAGUAUCAUGUUGUUUUAACUUUAGCACUGAUACAAUAAAAAAAUUAACAAAAGAGAUAACGAAAAGACAAAAAUAAAAUUACAGAAUACUAAAUUAAUAUAUUUUAAACUACAUGAUACUGAAGUGAGAAAGCGCGACAUCAUAGGAGUGAUAUUUAAAAUUUUUUCUUUAUUUUAUUAUGAAUUUAUAAAAAAAAUAUAUCUUUAUUAUUAUUAUUAUUAUUUUUCAAAAUGAGAUACUUAAUUGUUUGAAUAUAACUGAUAUGGUGUGACCACUAUGCAAUAGACUUUUUCACGAGGUUUGUUUUUUUUUUUGUUAGUGAUGUUAUUGGUACAAAAAAAAUACUGCUAUUUCGAAUGGAUUUACAUAAUAUGUUGAGAUUACUAUGAGGGUCUAUCUGAUUCACCAUUUAAUACUUUGUAUUUUUUUUUUGAAAAUAUUUAAAUUGUUAUAUUUAAUACAAGUUAGGCAGUUGUAAAAUGAAGUAGUGAAAUCACUAGUUUACAGCUUUUACAAAAGUAGGCAUUUUUUUGAAUUUUAUAAAUUCGAGCAGCCUUUUUUUGAAUUUUAUAGAUCCGAGCCGGAUUUUCACAAAAAUAUUCUUAUUUCUUUUUCUCUCUCCUCUCUUUUUUUUUCUCUCGUUCUUUUUUUUUCUUUCUCUCCAAGGGCGUCGGAAGCGGAAGCGGAAGCGGAAGCGGAGGCGGAGAAGGCCCACCUCACCUUUGUCCCGUGCGCCUUGCCCUCGCCCACGCACCCUCCCUCCCUCCGCCUUCCUCGCCUCUGACUUCGCCGAAUUUACUAAAUUGAUAUUCUAUAUUUGAGUUUGACACGUGGCAAGCAUAUAGAAAGGCACGUGUCAGUCUUACACCAAGGGUUCUACUAAAGUUUGACACGUGGCAAGCAUAUAGAAAGUCACGUGUCAGUUUUACACCAAGGGUUCUACUUUAGUAUACAGUAAAUAGAUUCGUACAUAGUAAAUAGAUUUAAUUUGUAUAUAUUAUUAAUAUACCUUUAUAGUGAUUUAAUUUGAAGGGUGCGUUUGGUUCGAGUUAUCCUCGCAGGAUUACAGGCAAUCCUGCCAGGAUAACUGUGUUUGGUUAAUCUGUUAUGUAAUCUAGUCGUUAAUGUAGCAUUGCAAAUCGAGCAGGAUUACAUCGAAAAUAUUAACGGGAGGGGGGUCGUGUAUCUUGUAUUACUGAAACCCGUUAAUACUACAUAUUAUGUAAAAUGACAAUUUUACCCUCCAACAACCCCAAAUCUAAUUAACAGCAUUAUUUUCAUCUCUCUCGCCUUCCCCCCUCUCUCUCGCACGCCGCUUUCUCUCGCUCUCUCUCUCUCGCACGUCUCUCUCUUUCUCUAUCUCUAUCUCUAUCUCUAUCUCUUUCUCUCUCUCGCACGAACACCUAUCUUCUUCUAUUGAGUCGUCCUCCCAGGUAAUCAUCACGAUCUCCUUCCCUCCAUUCGACAUUUCCGCAAAAAAUAAUAUUCAAAUGACCACAACAAGGGCAAUUUUGGAAAAAACUAUACUUUUAUAUUAGGAUUGCUAAAUUUCAUAAACUGAACCAAACGUAUUAAUGGUAUAAACACUGUAAUCUAGUAUUACAUUACUGCAUUAAACCAAAUGCGCUAAUGUAGCAUCAAUAGUAAUCUCAUGCCGAAAUCCAAAAUACCUGGAUAUGUCGAGAUACUUUGUAAUAUUACAUAAAUCGAACCAAACGGGCCCGAAUAGUAAUCUAUAUUUGAGUUUGACAUGUGGCAAGCAUAUAGAAAGCCACGUGUCAGUUUUACACCAAGGGUUCUACUUUAGUAUAUAGUAAAUAGAAUAGAUAUAGUAAAUAGAUUUGAAUAGUUAUCUAUAUUUGAGUUUGACACGUGGCAAGUAUAUAGAAAGCCACGAUCAGUUUUACACCAAUAGUUCUACUUUAGUAUAUAGUAAAUAGAUUAGUACAUAGUAAAUAGAUUUAAUUUGUAUAUAUUAUUAAUAUACCUUAAUAGUGAUUUAAUUUGAAUAGUGAUUUAAUUUGAUUUAAUAGUAUUUUCUAACCUAUUUACUAAAUUGUUAUUCUAUAUUUGAGUUUGACAUGCGGCAAGUACAUUGAAAGUCACGUAUCAGUUUUACACCAAGGGUUCUACUUUAGUAUAUAGUAAAUAGAUAUAAAAGCAUUCGCUGCAUUACACUUUGGAUCUUCAAAUUACACUGCACAGAGUAUUGUGGUUUUUAAAUUUCAACUUGUCAUAAUUUUCGGUUCUAACUUUAUACAUCGUUGUCCUUGUAAUCAAAUGUCAUAGUUCAGUUUAAUUGAUUAAAUAUUGAUGCAUUACUACCAUUUAGGGGUGGAACUGGGUCCAGGCCUGAACGAGGGCCGGCCCGAUAGACCAUAUAUGGGCCGUGUUUUGAGUUUCAAAAUUAUAAAUUUGGAUCUAGGCAAGGCUUAAAAAUUUAGACCGGAAAAAGUUUUGGGCCUAUUUAGAUAUGUCAAAGCCCGAUACAUUAGUUAUUAAAAUGAGAUAUUUAGUUUAUAUAUAUAUAUAUAUAUAUAUAUAUAUAAAAUAUAAUAUAUAAUAUAUUUGUCCAUACAAGAAUAAAUGAUAUAAUAUAUUAUAUUGUAAAUAUAACUACAUAUUUAGUUCUCAUAUGAGAAUAUAUUAUAAAUAGUAUUAUUAUAUACAAUUAUACAUAUCUACAAGUAAACAUAUAUAGUACGUAUUAUUAUAUAUAGUUAUAUACAUAUAAUUUAAUAUUAUAUAUAAUAUAUAGUACUUAUUUAUAUGUAAUACAAUAAAACUAUAUGCGUACUAUGUGACAAAUAUAUAAAGUGGGCCUUCACAAAGCUCGAUAAGUAUUAGGCAUUAGGCUUGGGCUUAGGCCGAGCGCCUUAAUUUUUUUAAAAGAAAAUAAAUAGAAGACCGACUCAAAGCCCAAUAUCUCGUUUGGGCACAGUAUGACCUGACCCAAGCCCUGCCCAGUUCCACUCCUACUAGUAUAUUAAAAUAAUACGACAUUCUAAUCACUGCUUCAUUAUCCGCCUAGGCCCUAGGGGCAUCGACUUUUAGUUAAUUAAAUUAAGUCGUGAGAUUAGAUUGCAACAAUUUAAGAACUUUUAAGUCAAAAAUUAUAGUAAAUUAAAAUUUUGAGAAUCGAAAUAUCACAUGCAUUAUAGAUUUGGGACUUAAAAGUGUUAUAUAUUUUACGCGAGUUACAUGCAGGUAACUUCAUUUAAUAUAAAUAAUGCUAGUAUAGUAAACCGUACGAUGCGACGGAUAAAUAAUUAAAAAAAAAAUAAAAAACGAUGACAAAGGAAGAGAAAAAGGCAAUGAAAGAAACGACGUUAAAGGGUGAGAUUCAUCUUGCCGAUAAAGAAAACUAAAGGAAGAUGAAGAAGAACAGUUCGGCUCAAUAUAGAGGUGUGACCUAAUUCGGUUCAAGUCCAAAAAAAAAGAUUGACCUGGCUCAAUUCAAAUAAAGAAAGAGAGAACUCAAGUUCAUUUCAAGCAAAGAAAGAGAAAAAUAUAUAGAAGACUUGAGCCGGUUCAGAAGAGUCCACACUUAACAAUAACUAAUUCGGUUCAAACAAAAAAAGAGAAUAAUCAAGUCCGAUGCAAACAAAAAAAAGAGGAAAAUAUGUGGAGAAUUUGAGCUGGUUCUAAUUAGAGCCCACACUCAACAAUGGAGAACAUGUUGCCAUGUGGUUCUAAUUAGAGUCCACACUCAAUAAUGAAGGACAUGUUGCCAUGUGGCAAAUUUAAGAAGAAUAAUCUAUAGGUAUAGGUAUAUAGAUGUUUUAAUUUUUGUGCCAUGAAAGGGAAUUAAUAGCUUAAAUCAAAUGAAUCAAAUAUUAGGUAUGAAAUACAAAACUUCAAUUAUUAGAUGAUGAUCUUAAAAUAGACAAUUAAUAAUCUUUGCAAGUUUCAUUCAUUUCUCCAUAGACAAAAUAAAAUAAAAUAAAAUCAAUCAUACAACAUUUUUAUCUAGAGCUACAUCCCGGAUAAGAGCACACCGACAAUUGCAUCAGUAGUGCAGGUACAAUAAAUGCUUGGAGAAAAACGUGCAAUAGCCCCUUGAACUUUUAGUAAUUUCACACAUAGAAUCUCUGAAUUUUAAUUUUAAUGAUCAAAAUCUGUAAUUUUAUCAAAUAAUUUAAUAAACCAAUCUUCCCAAUCGGAUUUACAAGCUACAUGGGCAUUUUUUAUGGUGAUUCUUACACAUAGCCUUGUAAGAAUUCAAAACACGGAUAAAAGCUUUUUUUUUUUUUCAAUUUUUAAUAAUUAAGCAGGAGAAUUUAAGAAUGGGGUGAUCCUGUUUUCAAUUUUGUUGCUUUUUUAAUUUCUUCGAAUAGAAGAAGUAAUUUUCUUCAUAGUCUUAAGACUAUAGGAUUAUGUGUGACAGUGUAAGAUAUAUGUCCAAAACCAUUAUGCAAUUAGCACUCUUAAUUAAGGAGAAAAAAUUAUUAAACUAUUUGAUACAAUUCGGAAAGUAUAUAGAUGAAGAGAAAGGCAUAAACGGCUCCAACCCGAAUACACCUUCUUCUUUUUUUUUUUUUUCGAUACAUAGAAACUGAAAAAUUUGCGCUUUCUAUGCGUCCAAAAUUGUACGAACACACCGUAAAAGACGAAAACAAAAGAAUAAAAAGUUCACAACGAUAAUUUCAAACACUGCAAAAAAUAAAAUCAUUCAAUUUUACAAAGAGUAUCCAAUCACCAUACAAAGAAAAAUUACGAACCAUCAAAUAAAACCUUCAAUCAAAACUAACAUACAAUGAAUAUUCACAACAAAGGGAAUGAGAUAGAUUAGAUGUUACUGAUCUCAAACCUAGCAAAAUUCCACACAGUUUGAAUCCUCUUUCACACACCUUUUUUUUUUUAUUAUUAUUAUUUUUUUUUUAAGAGAUAGAUACAUAUUUUAGAGAUAGAUAUCAUACUACAUGCUUUGUUUAUUUCAUUUAAAAAUAAACUUAGCUAUAAAUGUGAAUUAACUAGAUUCGAACUUGAGACCUUGNUUGCGCUAGGGACGGUCGUUUUUUUUUUUUUCUGUUUUUUCUUAAAUUAAAAGUUUUAGAAGUUGAGGGAGUCUCCGACCCUCCCGGUCCUGCUCAUGCUCGAGCCCACGGCGCAGCUCCGGCUCCUCAUCCCCACCCCGAGUUUACAAUUCCCCUCACCAACUCCGCCGCCUCCGAACUCGCACUCCCUGUCCUCGUCGAUCCUCCCGAUCGCCGCCACGCUCCGGCUCCGCUUCGGCCCCUCCGCCGCCGCCGCCGCCGCCGCCGCCCUCUCCGCCUCGGCCCGCCGAGACGCCGCGCGGACGAGCUCGCCGAAAUCCUCGUCCCUGCCGCCGUCGCCGGCCGAUCCGUAGCCGUGGGAACGGCUGCCUCGGCGGCUGCGCGCCGCCACGGCGCUGAGCGUGAUCGCCGACGCCACGACAGCCCCUCCGCCGCCGCGGCCGCCGCCGCCCGCGCACCCCGUCAUGCUACUGACGUAAAAGUCGCGGGCGCGGCCGAGGGCCCUGAUCGGCGCCCUGAUGCACCGGCCCAGGAUCAGCAGCGCGCCUCUCGUCCCCUUGCUCAUCAUCAUCGUCGUCGACAUCGCUCGAGUACGGGAGAAGAAGAAGAAGAAGAAGAAGAAGCAGCUUACAAUAUGCGCGAAUGUGAUUGGUUUUGGAGUUAGAGUUUGAAUUGACUUCGUAUGAAUUUAUAGGCUUCUUCAUGUAAGGACGCGUUCAUUAAUUAAGCGGACCGUUUCGCCGGGGCGGUGACGGAUGGGGCGUGGUGGACCGGGUCCAUUAGUGGAGUUAACGGAAGAGUCAAUUUGGGCUUUCCAAUUAGAGAGUGUAUAAUAAUAUACAAAAUUAAUUACGCCAACAAAUAAAAAAUCAAAAAAAAAUUAAUGUCACCUCAGAUGUGAGCGUAUUUAUACCAAAUGCGCCGACCGUUUUGCCUAUUAGAAAAUUUUCCUCGCUUAUUGACCGAUGAAAACUAUGCGCAAUAAAGCAUCUGGAGCCCACUUAUAUCUACUUUUAUUUAUAGACUAUUGUGCUAGAGAAACACAACAGCCUUUGCUCUCCUAAUUUUCUAGCCGUCAAUCAAUUUUAAUGGGUGGCUAGGAUGAGAAAGAAAAAAGAAAUUUGAGAGAAAUUUAAAAAAAAGAAAAAUUGAGAUAUCCAAUUUCUCCCAAAUUUCUCUUCGCUUUCUCACUCUAAUUAUUCAUCAAAUUUGAUAGAUGACUAGAAAGUUAGGAGCACAAAAACUACUGUACUCCUAAUAACACAGUAGCCAUACUCUCUCUCUCUCUCUAUAUAUAUAGAAUUGAGCUUCUAUACUUUUAAAAGUAUAAGUCAUUGGAAAUAUACGGUGAGAAUGAUAGUGGUCACUUAGCUUGUGUUUGGUUCGGGGUUAAGGGGUGGGAUAACCCCUUAACCCCGGUUUUAUUCCCAAAUAUGAUUUUAGGGGGGUGGGGUUAGCUAAUCCCAUCCCAAAUGGACUAAUCCGGAAUAACCCAUUUUGAGUGGGGUUAACUAACCCCACCUAACCGCACCCAACCCCACUACUCCAACCAAAUAAAACACUAUUUUACUCACUAUCCUUCUUAUCCACCUACUCCAACCAAACACUAUUUUCUUUAAUUCUGGACUAACUCCAAUUCUCAACCAUACACAAAAAUACUCUAACCCCACCUUAACUCUGAACUUAAUCCUAUCUCUGAAAUAACUAGUUUUUUCUUAACUCCGAACCAAACGGUAGCUUAGGUUGAGUGGAUGGUUGGUUGAAUAAUAUGAUCUAACGGGUAGGAAUGGUUAGAAGAAUAGAUCGAACGGUAUAGGAGCUCAAUUAUAUAUAUUAAUAAAUUGAAAGAAAAAUGUAAAUCACGAAAACAUAGAUAUGAUUCGCAAGACUAAGAUAAUAAUUAAAAUUAACUAUCAAAUUACACCGUUUAUAGAAUGACAUAGAAGUUGUUAGUAAAUUUAAUACUUUUAUUUGCGAACAUUUCAAUAGGUCUAUUGUGAUUUAAUAAUUUUCUUUUGUCAUAUUCGGUGAUUUCAUUUUUUUUUAAAAUAAUUAUAAAAAUCUGCCAUAAAAUAUAUUAUCAAGAUAAUAAUGCACUGCACAGUCUACACAAACCAAGGAUGGUGGAAUGCAGAUUUUUGCUACCCUUCUCUUCAACUUUUUGUUGCAGUAAAAUUGUAAAAAAAUGUUCCAGAGCUUUGCUAGAAAGCAAAAAUAUUUUUUGUUAAUUACGAAAUAUUCCACCUAAGGAACUCUAUUGACUCACAGAAGUUGUCAAACUAAUUUUAUUGAUUGAGAUAUGAUAGUAAAUUAUCCAGUUAAGGAUAAUACAAUAGUUAUAUUUAUAUAAAAAAAAGAAAAUGUUUUUAUAUUUUAUGUGAGAUGCAAAAAUGAAAAGAAAAACUGAUUAAUGUGGUAUUACUGUUCUACAGAAAACAGCAGAGUUUAUUUUUUUAAAAAAUAGACGAAAUUAAAAUCAUAAAGCAACUAAGUUUAGAAUUUGAAUCCUCUAAUAUCAAUCAUUAGAUUCUUGAUCAAUUACGCUACAUGCGAUUGGCUAAUGAAAAAUAAUUUUUACCUUGGACUCUCAAAUUAGGAAAAAAAAUUUUAGUGAGGAGCUCCUUGCGAAGUAUCAUAAAGAAGCUCUCAGUUCGUUGCCAGUAUUAGUUUUUCCUCCAUCUAAGAGUUUCUUAGAUUUUUUUUUUUUUUUUUUUUGAGAGAUAGGUAGCACGCUACUCGCUUCGUUUAUUUCAUUUAGAAAUAAACUUAGCUAGAAAUGUGAAUCAACUAGGAUUCAAACUUGAGUCUCGGGUACCAACCACCAAACCCUUUGCAAGUUGCUCUAGGGACGGUUGGUUCCUUAGAUAUGUUUUAAUACAAUUUUUAAAAAAUAUUUGUUAAAUUCGACUGACGAGAAUUAGAACUUUAAAUUUCAGUGAAGAGCUUCCCAACAAUGCCUCUUUGUAAAACCUUCAAUCUAUUAUCAUAUCGCAGAGAUAAAAAUUAAUACAUAACAGCAGAUCAAAGGCUCCUCAACGAUGCGGCAUUAGAAGAAACCUCACUAAUAUUUUUAAAAAAAAUUGAAAUACGACCCAAAGCAGGCGUUAGCGUGUAGUUCUUUAUCUAAAGUUUUUUCCCUCAUACUAAGGGGCAUAUCUCAGCAGUUUCCAGCUCAUAAAUAACCCGUGCAAAAGCCGGGAUCGGAAACUCUUGAUAUAAUUAUAAAUAAAUAAUUAAAUUAUUAGUUAAUUAAUUAAUUACACUACUCUUCUCCCUCGCGCUGUGGAGGCGGUGGGGAGGGAGAGCGAUGCGCGCGCCAUGGCCGAGGCGAAGGAGAUCUCCACCGCGAGCGGCGACGCCCCGUCCAGGUGCGCCGCGCCCCCUUUUUCUAAACUCUUCUUCGUCGUCGAUCUCUUGCUCUUCGACCCCUAGGGUUUCAUGCGCAAUCCGAGCAUUGGAAUUCUUAUUGCGUGCUAGAUGCCUCUUUCCUUGAUGAGGCGAGUGGAGUUUUAAGUGAUCCGUGCUUGUGAAUUGUGUAGAUUAUGAAACUUGGUGUAAAAGUUGGUAAUUUGGUUGCAGCCAAAUGGUCGAUGCUUAGCUUCUUCCAUGACCCCGUUGCGCUAGGGUUCCGUGGUAGUUGGAGCUUUUGUAUUAAUUUCAUCAAUUGCAUGGUAGUUGCCUCUUUCCUUGUGGAUGUGACUGGACUUUUUAACUUUUAAGUGAACCGUACUUGUGAAUCAUGUAAAUUAUUAUGAAACUUGGUGUUCGAGGAGAGUUCUUUGCUGUGGAAUUUGGUAAUUUGGUUGUUACGAAAUGGUAGAUGCUAAUUUCUUUGGCGAUCUUUCCCCUGACCCUGUUGCACGAGGGUUUUGUUUGAGACUGAGAUUUUGUAGUCUUACUGCAGCUGAUUUAUUUCAUCAAUUGCAUGGUAGAUACCUUUUUCCUUGCCGCCUUCAAUUAAUUGCAUUAGGUUUAGAUUGAUAAAAUAAUCGCCUCAGAAGAAAUUUUCUAAGUAACCCAUUCAGCGUCUGAUAAAGUUCACAAGCAAACAGGACUCAGUCCGGAAGACAAACAAUUCCUGUACCAAAGCCGGUCACCAAAUUCUUGAUAGAGUGCAUAGAUCGUUUUUGGUUGUUCACAAGCAAACAGGAUUCAGUCCGGAAGACAAACAAUUCAUGUACCAAAGCCGGUCACCAAAUUCUUGAUAGAGUGCAUAGAUCAUUUUUGGUUGCUAUCAGGGUUGAAGUUGAUAAUGUGAGAAAUAUAUUCAACGAUGCUAUCUUCUGCAUCCUCCAUUAGUUGAUUCAUCUAAUAUUGUUCUGUUCUGUUGUUUUUGAAAUACGCAUUAUCUGGAUGCUAAGGCUACUCUAAUGAUAGUAGUGAUUUUGGGGGAUGCUUUUCUAAUCUCUGUAGUUCUGCAUCUUAUUGAUAGGAUUGAGUUACUUAGCAUGGUGAGAAAGCACUCCAACUUAUUGGGGGAGGCAGUUGUUGAUGAGCAAGAUGAUUCGGACAUCGGAAUGGAUGCUCGAUUCUGGCAUGAAAUGCUAGAUCUAUACUUCAUACGUGGUAGAGUAUCAAAGGGAAAGGAGGAGGACGAUCUCAUAUUUUUUGUUAGAAAUAUGGUAUUGUAUGAUGAAGUGCCUCCAUCUUUUGGUCUGUGUUCUGACAAGGUUUAUUUUGUUCAGAACUUUUGCUAGCUAAUCACAUGAUAUUGUUGCAUCCAGAGCUUGCAUGGAUAUGGAUUCAAUGACAAUAUGGAGUCUGUUUCUCCGUAUUUUGUCCGCAGAUGGGCUCCCAUGGUAAAGAGAACAGGGUUACUCUUUGUUCCUUCCAGUUCUUGUUAAAACAUGUAAAACAUUUAUCCUUUUUUUUGACAUCUUGAAAAUGCAAGUCCUAGAUACCUGUGAAUAAAGCUUAAGUAACUUGUUGUCUAGUCAGUAUAGAUAUAUUGCGCUUUUGGUUGCUAAAAUGCAUAGCAUGCUUAGUAUGGAUGGUCAUAUCAUAUAAUUACAUACAAUUUUGGUGGUGAAACUUACAUCAUUGCACUAGUUGGUGUUACUAUGGUCUUGUGAAGUUAAACUUUUCUAGACUAAUGGGUACCCAUGAUUAAAAAAACUUUUCAUACUAGUGAUUAGUGAACUGCUCUGAACUUACAUAUCUUCUCUUUUUCUCUUUUUGCAAUAAAAAGAAAAAAGGAAACGAGAUGUCAAACAACUCUUAGAAAAUUUAAUUUCAAGUAGUGAGUUGAUAUAUCUUUAAAAGUUCAUUUAGGCCUGCCUUGUUGGCUUCGCUUCCCCUUAAUUGAUUUUGUUUUUUUCUCAAAUUUUAUCUGAUUGGAUGUGUCAGCCAGUGACAAAUUGUCUGCAUCUCUCCACUUACGGUGUUUUUUAUAAACACAAGAAUAAAGAUGGGUUGUAAACUUAUCAACGGUAACAAGAAUAAAGGCGUCCUUCUCUGAUGUGUUCAAUUGCUUAGAAUUGAGAAAUACAUAGGCGCAUAAAUAAAUAAAUUAAUAAAUGAGAGCUUAGCAUUUACCUUUCCUAGAAAACUGUUUUCUCUUGCUUAGUUACUUUCAUGAAGCCAUAUGCGUUAUUGCUAUUGUAGAUACAUUAGUUGUGAUAAAUUUUGAACGAGUAUUAAUGAGCAUUUUUUGAUCUAUUAUUAGUAAUCAGAUUUCUAUGUUUUAUGCAAACAGCUUGAGAAAGUAGUUGGUGAAUAUUCUGGUGAUAUAGACUGGGGAAGUUCUUUUUACUUGAAUUUAAUUGCUCAUACAUCUUUCACCAUCACAGUAGCUAUUUGCAGGUACUUUCUGUCUAGCUCCUUCUAUGUGCUAUCACUUGAUGAUGCAUUUGUCAUCUUUUUUUGGUUGCCAUUAGAUAAUUUUAACUGCUAAAUUGUCAAAAAAACUUCUGCUUACAUACGGAUAGAUUUAUUCUUUGUAAAUAUAUUUUGCAGUAUUCAAGAUCUUCGUAAACAUCAAAAUGGUGAGAAUACAUCAUUAUCUCCUAUAUACAAGGUAUACAAUAGUAGAAUGUAAUUUCGUUGCACUAGUCAGAUAAUGCCUUUAUGCUAUAUAUUUCUUUUUGAGUUGUCUUUGUGAGCUUUGUUGUUGUUCUGAUCCUUGCAUAUAUGUUGUCCUAGCCCGUUCUGUAAAAUAAAUUAGAUGAUAUUUUUCAUUUCGUCAACCAGGAUGCUGUAAAAUAAGUUAGGCUAGUUUAAGUGUUGUUAUUUUCAAAAACACAUACUCUGCAUACGCACAGAUCCUUUGUGAUUAUUUGAUAAGUAAUUAACUCCCAUAGAUAUCCUUUUUUCCGAACAAUGGCGUGCCUUUAAGUCAAAGAAGGCUGGACAUUUCACAAGGAUAGCUCUACUAAAGUAAAAUAGAAUUUAACUUAAAUCCAGAAAAGCUAAUAUGCUUGAUAGUGUAGCACUGCUGACUAUGAUGGCAUUCGAAACUUAAUAAAAUAACGAGACCAGAGCAGAACACCAUAGUUUUGUGAAUCUCUAUUUUCAGAGCAUAAAAUAAUCUGUCCUACAUCAUAUUUUCUUUACAUAUGCAUUGAAACAGGUUGUCAAGACUGUCUAUGCAUCCCCUAGCCGUGUUAAUUUUCACCUGGACGAGAGAAAGGUAAUUUUCUAUUAUUAGCAUUAAAUAUAAGUUUCUGUGCUUCUCAUGUUCAUUUUACGUUCUGUUACAGGCUGCAGAAACACUGCCUGCCUACCCAAACAUUUGUUUUGCUAUUGAUGACUUUGACGAUACUUUUGAUGCUGUGGUAAGAUGAUUUAUUGUUGGACAGUUAUUUUGUGAAGUUCAUGAUAAUAUUUGCCUCUUUUUUCCCCACUCUCUCUAUUCAGUUAUUUGAAAGCCUGAACUAACAUUAUGUACUGUUAGAUAUGUUUACUUCCUUCGUUUAUUUGGCUCCAUUUCCUAUGUAUUAAGUACUUGCCUAUUCUUCUCACUGUUGGCUAGCAUGCACUGUAAUCCAGUUCGAUGCCACAAGGCUUCUUCUUCUUCUUGAAAUAAAAAAAGAGUUUUUUUUUUUUUUUUUCCGUCCUGGGNUGGGUUGGUGAGGGUGUGGUGGAGGGAAGGGGUGUUGGGGGUUGGUUGCCAAACAAACCCGUAGUGCAUGGACUGAAAGCAAUCCUUUAUCACUCCACAUACUCCAUUCUAUAGAAGUUGUGUGAAAUCUUUAUCUUUUUAUUUUUUGAAAAAACAACUACUACCAAAUAAGUCUUUAGUUAUUGCUAUUGGACAAACAACGCUUUUCUGUCAUUUGUUCUUUUGUGCACAAAAUUUCAGUGUUCUUUUCAAGAUAUGUAACAAAUCCAUGCUACUCUUUCUAUUAUUCUCUGCUCUCCUUUUCAGGAUUAUUUUGUUCUGGUAGUUAACUUCAUUCUACUUUUUUAUUGCAAGUAUAGUAUGUACGUUAACUCAUAGUCUUAGCACAUCAAAUUUGUCGUUUGAAUUGAGCAGGUUUUGACAGAAGUAGAUCAUUGCUAUUGUGUAAUUCUUAACGCAAAUGGUGGGGCAGCGUUUCCAGCAGAUAAUGAUCCACAGGACAACAAUUUAAGCAGGCCUUCUGGGAAUGACAAUGAUGGCAAGAGAGUCAAGCCGUCUAAGGUCUGAGUUUCUCCCUCAAUUAGAUUUAUUGCUGGAGAAUGUUCAUUAUUUUCAAUGAUGAAAAAAAAAACAUUAUUGCUUUAAGUUGUUAAGUCAGUUUCAGUCUUUAUCGGGCAACUAUUGGUGUUUACAGCCUUAUGAACACUUUUAAAAUAUUUUAUACUUUAUGGCCUCAUUUGAUGCCUUUUCAUUUUUUUAAUCAAAUUCUAAGCAAUGUACGCUGUACGGAUGCGUCACGAUGUGGAUAUGACCAAACAACAAGACUAGGAAAACAAAGAUAGUGAUUUGAUAAAAAAUAUAUCCUUUGGUAAGAGAGUAAAUUUUGUUCUGGAUCCAAUUUUGAACCUUGUUUAAAUGUUUAGGCUAAAGCAAUGAAAGAACAUCAUAUGCAACCAUGUCGUUGAGGGAACUUGUCCAUUCAGCCCAAGUAUAGUUGUCUCUCUUUAGCUAAACCUUGUGUAAGUCUUCAUUUUAUUUUUGAUAUGUCAUCAAUAUAUAUCCUAGAGUUAGCCUAUAUAAGUCUUCGUUUAAUUUUUGAAUAGAAAGGAUUCCUGGAAGAAAAUGUUGGCACCUAACUAUGCAGCAUGUAAUUGAGUAUCCUCUAGUGCAAACUUAGCUUUUUUGAGUAUCCAUUUGUUCUUAGCCAAUUAUGUAUAAGUUGUCAGAAUUCUCAGUGUAAUUUUUUUUUUUUUUGAAACUCUGACCAGGAGUCAGAGGGAGCACCUAAAGAGGAAGGAAUGGAAAAUCUAUCCUUUUUGACCAUUUUGGCAUGACGAAUCCAAGUAGAGUCGAAAUAAAGCAUAAUUUAAGUGCUAGUUGAUGAUCGAGUGUUCAUUGAUCCAUGUUUUAAAUCGCACAAUAGUUCAUUUAGACUUUUCCAGUCGUUGAAAAUCACUAGAUAUAUACACAUGUAUGUGUCGUUUGCUGCUAUGUUCUUUUCCUUUACUAGGUAUUGUUUGGUCAAUUGUUGCUCCCCGGUGUUUCUUUUUCUGAAAUUUGUUGUGCAGCUAGAAGAAAAUUAUCAUUUGAUUAGAGAUUAUAUGCUAGUAUUUGCAUAUAGGGGUUAUUCUUGACAUGAAUAUUGUUUAUGACUGCAGCUUACCCUCUUCUCAGGAUUUGUCAGCUAUCAAAUGGUCCGAGAAGCAUAUGAUGGUAUGCAUUCUACGUGCUUCUACUCCCUUCUAGAUUCCCUUUUAUAUCAUAUAUAAGUGCCUGUAAGCUCCAGAGUUCAAUGUUUCAGUUUCAGUUUGAUUUCGGCUGGGACCUGUGAAUUUGGAUUAUGGUAUUUUUGGCUCUUUUUAGGUCUGAAUUGCAGUUUGGUCUGAAAGUUCUUAAAUGAAAAUCGAGAAAUUCUAGAUCCAAUAAGAAAGAUAUCAGUGAAAUAAACUGGUUUCAGACAACAAGAAAAGUUUCGACGUAAUUUGUUGUUGUCCAACAACUUCUCCGUUCUUAUUUUGGUCGUCCCCACGUUGCUUUUUUUUUCCUCUCUCUUUUUUUUUUUUUUUUUUUUUUUUUUUUUUUUUUUUUUUUUUUUGUUUUCUUCUAUGGCAGCUGGGAAGUCUAGAUUUGGUAGCCUUCUAUCACUUGGCCAUUCUCACGAAAAGACCGACAGGCUGUACAUGAGGGGUCCCGGAGGACGUGGUGAAGUUGAAGUAGCCGUUUCGGGAAUAGCAGGUCCAUGAAUUUCUUUAAUAGAUUAAACAUGAAUAUCUUAUUACAACUAUUAUUAUUUUCUUAAAAAAUGAAUGAUACUGUUUUAAGUGACUUAAUGACCAACAGUGGUUUUGAUGAGUAUUGCGCAAAUGUGUGCAUUAAACUUGUAAGUUUCGAUAAAAUAUUAGAUGGUUUGGUCAAGUUUCUCUGUGGUUCAUGGAAACAAUUGUUGCCCUGUAGACUUGAAUUCUGAUAAUGAUAUAUUAUUUUAUUGUACUUAUAGUAAUGUUUAGACUUGAUAACUGAUAUGACUAUUUUGCUGUGCUGUAGAUCAAAGCCGUGAAAGCACCGGUCCCAAGUCAUUACAUCAAUUAUCUAAGAAAGGCUUAGGGACUGGGCUAGGAAGCAUUGUUCAUAAAGCGGCUUCAGCUGCUUCUGAGUUGGCCAAGCAUGCUUAUGCUGCAACUUCUUCUGGCAGGAAAUUUGACGAAGAGCUUCUGCCCCUCAAGUGUUGCUUGAUGUCCAUUUCUCUUCCGUGGGAGACCAUCGCACAUGACCUUCUAUUCAAGGUAAGUGUUUUGUCAGAAUUUUGGGAGACCAUCGCACAUGACCUUCUAUUCAAGGUAAGUGUUUUGUCAGAAUUAUGGUUGAAACCUCUAUGCUUAUAAUAAGGACCAACUUGCUUGAUCUGAAAUUGUUAUUCAUGCAACUCGAUGCACCAUUGGCCCAGCUUUUAAAACAGUUUCUCUACUCGAGAAGUAGAAGUAUUAUAAAAAUGUCUAGAAAGUAGAAAGCAAGUCUUGCACAGUACAUUAUAUGAUGGAACAUCAAAUUUGAAACUGCUGAAAACUUGCAAACCAAAAUUCCAUUUGUUUUAGCCUCUAAAAGAUAAAAUAAGCUAAGAAUAGUAAGAAAUGUUUAAUACAUCUCCUAAUUUUUUGAAUAGACGAUAGUGUAUGUAAAAUUUGAUGUACACUUGUAUUGAUUGUUACAGUCCAGCCCUCCACUGUCUCUAUGAUCAUCGGUAGGAACCAAGACGCCAUCAAAUGGCUAAUCUGGACAUGCUUUACAUCAAGUGCACUGCGCAAGUUAUGUAUAUCGACAAGUUCAAUUCCUUUUACAGUUAGCUUCAUUUAUUUAAUUGAUUGAAACUUGAAAGAGCUCUGUCCCAUUUUGAAUUUUGAAGUUGUAGCUACCUGCAUAGUGAGUUUCUCUGAUGUCUUGAAAAUACCUGGCCAACACUAAGAAAAGCGGAGAAGGUUUUCGAUACAGGAGAAAAUGGUUUGACUCGAGGCCCCGAGGGUCUCUAAAAUUGGUUUGAUUCUCAAAUUGAGCCUGUAUAUAUUCAUAAUAAGUACAAAUCUUUUAUGAAAUUGUUUAAGUUUCAUGACUGAGAUAUCUUUUAUCUGUAUAUUUUUGUUGGCUCUUUCUUCAUGGGGUGGUGAGUUGCGUCGGAGGUCCUCUACCUCUGCAUUGCAGGAGAUUUUAACUUUUCAUUUGUUAUUACAAUCAUGUCCUCGACCUCUAUUAUUUGUUUUAACCAUGUAGUUAUCUUUUGAAAUUCUUGUUAAAUGUCUGAGCUUAAUCCUUUGUCUUAAUUGCUUCCGCUGUUCGCCAGCUCCUUUGGUCUGGCGAAUAUCGAAAAUCGUUUUCUUCGGGCAUUUUAUAUAAAUAAGAGAAAUAAGUUUGAGGGUUAGAGUGCUUUCUUUUGUGCUUUUAUUUUGUUUUCAAAUCCGAAAUAUUUGAAUUAGUGAGCGGCACCAGGUCACUAGGCCAGGCAAGUUGUUAUAAAUUAGGGAUAACUUCAAACACCCACCCCCGGGUUUCGUACUUUCUCAUUUUCGUACCAUGUGGUUUAAAGUGUAUCAAUUUGCACUCCCCCCUCCCGUUGUUUCGUUUUUCUCUUUUUAUUAUCAAUUUUAUUAUUAUUUUUUCUUAAAUCAGUGACAAAAUUAAAAUUAAAGGGUACUAAAGUAAAUAUUCGAUAAAUCUAGAUAGACAUCUGAAAUUUUUUGUAUAUAAUUUAAUAAAAUAUUAAGAAAAAAGCUAUCGAAAAGAUAAAAACAAAACUACAUGAGGGCAAAUUGAUACACUUUAAAUCACAAAGUACUAAGUGAGAAAGUGCGAAACCCCAUGGGGGUUUUUGAAGUUUUUUCUAUAAAUUAUAAAGUAAUAAGAGACUAAACUACUGGGAUCUUACAAUCGAAAUUUCUUUUGAAAUGUACGGGACAGGAUUUGGUUAUAGGAGUUGGGAAGUUUUUUCUAAAAAUAUUUCAGAAAAUAAAUUUUGGCUGAAAAUUUAUUCUUUUCUUAGAAAAAUGGCUAAUUUGUAUAAAAAAUUUACUUAUUUUGGGCUUUUGCAAAAUCGGGCCAAUUUUUUCAUUUUUGCAGAUUCGGUCCGCUUUUUCAGCAAACUGACCAAAAUACCAUUAUACCUUUUUCUCUCUCCUCUUUUUUUUUCUCUCGUUCUUUUUUUCUUUCUCUUCCCAGAGAGCGGCCUCGCCCGCACACCUCCGUACCUUCAUUGUCUCCGACCCUGCCCGCACCGCUACGUUUUUUUUUUUUUCCUCUCCGACUCUCCUCCAUCGUUUUCGACGACGACGCAUCUCUCGCCCUCCCCCGUCAUUCUUGUCCUCUCCCUCUCCUUCCUUCUCUGCCGCCUCCGACAACGACGCAUUUUCGUCGGCGCCGACAAUAUGCCGGCGCAUCCUUACCCCCACCUACACAUCCCUGCACUUUCCUUGCCUCCGAUCCUGCCGAGGCCGCGUCGCGACACUUUUUUUUUUUCCUCUUCGACUCUCCUCCACUGUCUUCGACGACGACGCUUCUCUUGCCCUUCUCCGCCCUUCUCGUCCUCUCCCUCUCCCUCCUCUUUUGCCGCCUCCGACGACGAUGCAUCUUCGCCGGCGCCGGCGCCGGCACCGACACCGUGGAGGUCACUGCGCCGCUGCAGCCUUGGAGCGGGGGUUCUUAGCGGCAUCGUCGCUAGCGCCGUGGAGAGGGGUGACCAAAAAAAAUAUAAAAAAAGCAAGAAAAAAAAUAAAGAUAAAAAAGUAUAGAAAAAGAAGAAUGAAGAUGAAAUUAUAUCGUUAAUUGCAAAAAAAAUUUAUAAGUUGCAAUACUUAAGAUGUAAAAUACAGCUUUAAGAUAAAAAUUACACUCUUUAAACGAAAAUUACACUCUUUGGGAGAUAUUUACACUGUUUCUCCUCUUAUUACACUCUUUCUGAUGUAAACUGUACCCACUAAGAUAAAAAUUACACUCUUUAAACGAAAGUUGCACUGUUUUCUCCUCUUGUUGCACCAUUUCUCCUUUUGUUAUACUAUUUUUUUAUCUUAAACUGCACUCAUUUAAGAGAUAUUUAUACUUUUUUUUUCUCUUGUUGUACUGUUUUUUCUCUUGUUGCACUAUUUCUCCUCUUGUUACAUUGUUUCUCCUCUUAAAGGGUGCAGUUUAAGAUAAAAACAGUGUAACAAGAGGAGAAAUAGUGCAACAAGAGAAGAAACAGUGCAACAAGAGGAGAAACAGUAUAAAUAUCUUUUAAAGGGGUGCAGUUUAAGAUAAAAAAUAGUGUAACAAAAGGAGAAAUAAUGCAACAAGAGGAGAAACAGUGCAAUUUUCGUUUAAAGAGUGUAACUUUUAUUUUAAUGGAUGUAGUUUACAUCUGAAAGAGUGCAAUAAGAAGAGAAACAAUGUAAAUAUCUCCCAAAAAGUGUAAUUUUUGUUUAAAAAGUGUAAUUUUCAUCUUAAAGCUGCAGUUUAUAUUUUAAGUAAUACAACUUAUAAUUUUUUUUUUUAGUUAACGAUACAAUUUCAUCUCCAUCAUUCUUUUUCUAUAAUUAUUUAUCUUUAUUUUUUUUUUCUUAUUUCUUUUAUAAAUUUUUUAGUCACCCAUCUCUGCCAACGGCCACGGCGCCGGCGACGAUGCCGCUAAGGACCCCCCGCUCCGAAGCUGCAACGUCGCAGUGACCUCCACGGUAUCGGCGCCGGCGCCGAGAUGCAUCGUCGUCGGAGGCGGCAGAGGAGGAGGGAGAGGGAGAGGACGAGAAGGGCGGAGGAGGGCAAGAGAGGCGUCGUCGUCGGAAACGGUGGAGGAGAGUCGGAGAGGAAAAAAAAAAAAAAGUCGCGGUGCGGCAUUGAUAGGAUCGGAGACGAGGAAGGUGCGGGGGUGUGCGGGCGAGGUUAAGGAUGCGCCGGAUAAGCCGCCGCCUCCUCCGCCUUCGCCGUUCUCUGGGAAGAGAAAGAAAAAAAGAACAAGAUAAAAAAAGAGGAGAGAGAAAAAGAUAUAAGGGUAUUUUGGUCAGUUUGCUGAAAAAGCGGAUCGAAUCUGCAAAAAUAAAAAAAAUGGCCCGGUUUUGCAAAAGCCCAAAAUAAGUAGAUUUUUUUAUGCAAAUUGGUCUAGACAAUUAGUUUUUUCUAAAGAAAAUUUUUUUUUUAAGGUUUAUGGAAAAAGUUGUCUUUUCUUUUUUAAAAAUAAAUUUAUCUAAAAAAAUAUAUAUAAAAAAUUAUUUUUUUACGGUUUUUCUGAAGAACCAAACACUCCUGCUAGUGAAUUUGUAGCGAUCAAUCGUGUCGAUGAGCCAUGCGUAAUGAUGAGAAAAAUGAAGGACAAAAUUUAACCACCAAAAAAAGAAGAAAAAAAGAAAAAAAAGNACGGGUGUCCACAAUCCACAUCCUCGGGCUCAGCUGCGGCGCUCAAAAUCAAACUCAAAACUCGCACCACAUCCCGCUCAUCUUCUUCUUCUUCCUCCUCCUCCUCCUCCUCCUCCUCCUCCAUUGCCCUCGUCCAUGGAGAACAUCUCCGUCGCCAUCCGCUUCCGCCCUCCGAUCCCCUCCUCCUCCUCCUCCGAUCUCCCAUGGACGGUCGACUCCAACCGCAUCACCCUCCUCGCCUUCCCCGUCCCCAACCUCUCCUUCACCUUCGGUAACAUCCUCUCUCCCCCCCUCUCCCCUCUCCCUCCUACCCUCCUAACUCCCCCGCCCCUCUCUCUUUCUCUCUCUCAGAUCACGUCUUCGAUCGCACCUCCACCAACGCCACCAUCUACGGCCUCCUCGUCCGCUCCCUCAUCCGCUCCGCCCUCGACGGAUUCAACGGUCUGUAUCAAAUCUCUCCUCCCUCCCCCGAUCUCCUCCAUCGUCGACUUGACUCGAUUCCGUCGCUCUCCCCGCAGGAACCGCCUUCGCCUACGGCCAAACCAGCAGCGGCAAGACCUUCACCAUGUACGGAUCCGAAGACGACCCCGGGAUCGUCCCCUUGGCCGUUCAAGAUGUCUUCCGCACCGCUCGGAUGGUAAUCGGUUCCAAUCAAGUUGGGAUCUUUUUGGGGCUUUUCUCCAAUUUGGGUUUGAUUCUUGAAAAGUAAAAAAAAUAAAAAUUGAUCUGCGAUUUUGUGAGCAGAGUGCGGAUCGAGAGUUCUUGAUUAGGGUUUCGUACAUGGAGAUCUACAAUGAGGAGAUCAACGAUCUGCUGACGCUUGGGAGCCAGAAGCUGCCGAUCCAUGAGAGCUUGGAGGUGAGAUCUGCGAUUAAUAGUAAAAGGUUUUGAUUUUGCUUUACUCAUCAAACUUUAAUUUGUUACAACUUUAAUCCUCAAACUAUUAGGCAGCUUGCUAUUACGUGCCGUCAUUACAUUCUAUAAACUAAUGGAAGUUUGUCACCAGACGUAGAACCAAAGCUUUUAAAGAUUUGGUUCCUAUUUGCUAGUAAAAAAUCUAAACUUUUGAAGUUCUGGUAGCUAUUUUGAAAUGCACUAUAGUUCACAAUAGUUCUGAUAAGGUAAAGUGCAUUUUAAGCUUUUACAACAUGAAGUGGUAAUGAUGAUUGCUAUCGUGUAACUGUACCUUCUUUGUGAUUAUAGCGUGGGGUUUUUGUGGCUGGACUACGAGAGGAGAUUGUGAGUAGUGCCGAGCAAGUGCUCGAGCUACUCAAACUUGGGGAAGGUUUGACUCAUCAAUCAUCUUUGGCUAUAAUAAUAACUUAUUCAUGGUUCUUUUUCGUUAAAAGUGGAGUUCACGAACUGUCUUUUGCAGCAAAUAGGCAUUUUGGGGAGACAAAUAUGAAUGCACGGAGCAGCAGAUCGCAUACCAUAUUUAGGAUGGUAUGAUGUUCUAAAUUAUUGUUCACCUUUUUAUUUCCUCUUUUAAUCAAGAAUUAUGUAUGUUUCUUCCUAUUUUCAGUUGGCAUCACUGAAGAGAAUAGGGUGUCUUCUUUUUGAUCUUAGGUCAUUGAAAGCAGUGCAAAGGAUGUGAAUUCAUUUGGUGAUGUUACUAGCGCAGAUGCUAUCCGUGUAUCUGUACUGGUUUGUAUAACUUCUUUUUCUUGAGAAACAAUUUUACAGCCAAAACAGAAGAAGUUUCUUUUGUGACUGUGUUUGGCUCUGUGCUGGGUAGAACUUGGUGGACUUAGCUGGGUCAGAGCGGAUUGCUAAGACUGGUGCUGGAGGAGUACGCUUGAAGGAGGGGAAGUACAUAAACAAGAGCUUGAUGGUUCUUGGUAAUGUAAUUAAUAAACUGAGUGACAAUGGAAAGCAAAGGUAUUUUAGUUUAUCAAGUAACUCGAUACUUAAACAUUUCUUCUGCUAAUUUCCAAACUGAUCUUUUCCUUUCAUAUAACUAAGAACCUAUCAUCAUUUAUUUGUGUGAAUUUUCUAAGUAACUCAAGUAUUUGGCUACAUCUUCUUUCAUUUACGCAAUCUUUUUUACUAUACAGUUUGCAAAGUUCUUUGUGAGUGCAAGUGUGACAAUUCCAUAACUUCUUAUGGUGGAGCACUAACUGUUGCUAUAUUUUUUGUCGCAGUGAACAUGUAUGAUGGUGUAAUAGGCUUCUUUCUGUUAUCUGAAUUACAUUUCUACAUUUGCAAUGAUGCAGGGGACACAUUCCUUAUCGUGAUAGUAAAUUAACUCGUAUACUUCAACCUGCACUUGGUGGCAAUGCCAAGACUUCGAUAAUCUGUACAGUUGCACCGGAGGAGGUAGGAUUAAGGCUUCUUGGCUAUUUUUGCUACUACUGGGUUAAUAUUUUCAAUGUUUGAUUUUGUAACUGAUAGGUUCACAUUGAGGAAACUAGAGGGACCCUUCACUUUGCAAGCAGAGCAAAACGUGUCACUAACUGUGCUCAAAUUAAUGAGGUUGGUUUUUAAAUCUUUUUGACUUCGUACUAGUAAAUUGCAAUACUAGCAGCAGGAAAAAUGCAUUUCUUAUUAUUAUUAGGCAGAGUAAGUUUGUAUAGUUAUGUUUCUAAUCAAGUUGCCUGGUAGUUGCCAAAAAUGAUCCAUCUGAAGAUGCUCGAGUUUUUAUUGACAUCCUUUCAGUUGUAUAAUUCACUAUAUUUUAGUCCUUAAUUAGACAUUCCUUUCUGCAGUUGAUUUUUGUACGUGCAUCCCUAUUUAUUUUUCAUCUAAUUGCUGUUGAUCAUGAACAGGUUCUAACUGAUGCUGCACUGCUAAAGCGGCAGAAAUUAGAGAUAGAAGAACUUCGAAGAAAACUUCAGGUUAUUCGCUGUCUUUUGUCUAAUCCUGCUUUUGUGAACAAUCAUGUUAAACCUAAUUUCAACUUGUCAGGGAUCUCACUCAGGAGUGCUGGAACAAGUGGUAUUAAAACAAAGGAAUGACAUGCACAAGGUGUGUAGUACUAUAUUUUCUAUAACAUCUGCUAUGCUGUUGUUAUACCUGACUCUUGACAGAAUGUUCUUUUCUAUGGUAGAUCUAUUUAGUUUUACUUCUUGUUCUUUAUGCUGAUUUCAGUCUGAACUUGAGCGUGAAAGGCUCAUUGUGGAACUUGAGGAAGAAAGAAAAGCUCGUGAGUCAUUAGCGCAUUGCAUUAGGGAACAACAAAAGAGAAUAGACGAUCUUACCAUUCGCACUACAUCUGAUCAUGCUGCUAGAUCUAUUCAGGUAAUCCUUAGAAGACGAUAUAGAAUAGUGUUAAUUAAAAACAAGUAUAGCACUGGAUACUCGUUCUCAAAAGAAAAGGAGAAUACCAACGAAUAUUUUUUACUUCACUGACACAAUAUAGAUAUUUGAAUUCCUUGGUAACUAAUGUGUAGUUGUUGCAGCAGAAGCUUGGUGCAGGGGGUACAUAUGAUGAAGUGAAUAUGCUGCAUCCAGAUGAGUUCAGAACUCCAGAUCUCAAGCAAAUGUCAAAUGUUUUUGUUGCAAGAAGGUCAAACUGUUCAAAGGAUCUCGACUCUAGUCCCAUUCCUGAAAAUUUUGCGAACAUAGCUGAUGAAGACUUGUGGAUGCGUCUGAACAAAGGUUGCACGACUGACCUUGAUAUGCUCCAAACUCCCCGUAUCAAACGUCGAUCCUUUUCAUCGAGGGAGAUAUCUCUGGUGAGUUUAAUUUUCCUUCUGCUCAAGCUGCUUUGCUUCAUGUACAAGCAUAAGCUCACUAUCAUAUACAGUAUAUUUCCUUUAUAGCUUGCGUAUUUUAUCCUUCAUUUUUACUAUGUCAUUGUUAUCUAUAAUAAAAGACAAUCCAGGCUUCAUUUUUUUCCUAGACAAUAGAUAAAUAAAUCCUGAUACAUUUUGGUUCGAAUAUUAGGCUUCAAAUUGUCAUUUUUAACAGUAAUGUGCCAGAUAAUUAUGCCACUUUAUCUGCAAGCUGUUUUUGAUGAAAGUCCUGGUUCUGAAGCUUCGGCCUUGCAUGAUGGCCAGUUUCUUGAAAUCAAAGAUAUGAUGCUUUAUUCUAUGAUGGCCACUUUCAUGGACCAUGUUUCCCGUACAGAAAUAAUGCAUGUAAAUUGGGAUUAUUUCUGUCUUCUCUCACUAACAAUCAAUUAUUUUAUUCUUGGUUUACAGGAUCAACCUUUUCAAGAAGAGGCCAUUGAUAGGAAAUGCGAAAGGUUGGAAAUUCAAUGCAGCUUGGAGAGGCAACAGCUCGAGACCUCAGAAGAACAACGCAUGAUUCUGGAAUGCGAAUGCAACCAACUGAGAGAGGAAAAAGCUUCUCUACUUCAAACUCUCUCGAUUUCCAAACAAGACAUAGAUAUACUUAGAGCCGAAAAGGAGGAGCUUGUUAAGGAGCUCAACCUCGAGAAGCAGAUGAUGAAGGGUCUCAAAGAAGAGAUCCAGCUAUUCAGCUUGGCAUUCUCUCAGAGGGAAGGAUUGCUCACUUCUCUCUAUACCAAAUCGAAGGCCAUUGUGGAAAACCUCAAAUCCUUUCAAGUCACAACACCUGAGCUAUAUGAUUGAUAAGAAGGAAUAGCUUCUCGUGAGUUUCCGUCAUGUUUUGUUUGUAUGCUGACAGAUUGAUCAUCAUGUGUCCUUGAGAGUUAACAUUGACUCUGUACAUUAUUUAAUCACAUGUUCAUUUUAAAGUUUACCACUAUUCCCGCGGAAGUUAUCAUCAAUCUUCCUUAAUCAAACCUUCUGUCCGUCCUCGUACAUUUACUGUAGAAGUUAUUGUCAAGUUAUUAUCUUGUGAUCUUGCUAGGCUUUCAAGUUGUUGAGCCUACCUAACAAAUGCUAUUUGUUUGCAUUAAUCAUUUAAUCCUUGUUCCGCUACUUAAGAGCUUUUCUCUUUUUUUUUUUUUUUUUUUUUUUUUUUUUUUUUUUUUUUAACCCUUUUGGCUAGUGAUAACAGUUACAAUUCCUUCACAAGGCUCUAAGGGGGGUUGAGGGAAUGGCUCAUCCAAGAGACUCUUGGAUGUUAGUGUUUAUUUUUUUUGUUUUGUUCUGGUUCUUUUAAAAACUUAUGUUGGAACUUCCUCCACUAAAAGCCAAAGUUGUGAAUUAAAGUAUGGGCCCUCAGUGUAUGAGCACAUUAUACUAAAGAAUCAAUUCAAUUGAGGGUGCAAACAGAUAGGAGGUAACCAUUUUUGUUCUGGUGGUGUGUAUCCACUCUCCACUUGAGAGGGAGACUAAAAAGUGGAGAGGUGAAGAGAACUACUCUUUUUUUGCUUUGUUUUUCUGGACCAAAUAGAAAUAAAUUGUCCCCUGCAGGAGUGGUAUGCAGCUGGGGUUCAGAGGUAGCAGAGCAGUAGGGGUACAGUAUUCAAUCCAUUUUCAACAACUACAUAAUGCUAUUUCUCCACCAGAAAUUAAUGUCAAAAGUUCAAAUCUACCAGAAGCUUCUUAUAUGGGAUUAAUUUGAGAGGCUCUCAGUGUAGGGGGAUGCUGCUUCUAGCCUUCUACAUACAGUAGGCCCAUCUAAACUCUCAGUUCAUUUUUAAUUUUUAUACCCAAUUAGUCUUACAAUGUUGCAGGAUGGAGGACCAUAUGGAGGAAGCAAAAGUACUCAAAUUCAUGUUUCCAAAUUCUAAUCCAUGUACUCAACCAACUUUUAUAUAGUGCAGUUAUUAAAUUGAAAAGCUUCGUUUUAGUUUGUGUUAAUGUUAUACAUGAAGAAAGAUUAAAAAAAAAAAGAAGAAAGUUCUCAAUUGUAGGUCAUCUUGAAAGAGUUUUUAGAGCUUGAUUUCUUUUGAUCGACGCAUUUCAAUUUUUGUUUGAUUUGAAUUAGAUUUUUACUCGAUUAAACUAAAGAUUGAAACUAAAAAUUUUUAUUAAAGAUGUGAAAUUAUAUGGAGUAACUAAUUGAUUUAAUAAAAUCUUGAAAAAUGUAAUUUCAAAUUAUAGGAGUUCCCGGUUGAACAUUUAUCCAGCAAUAAAUCAGCUGAGUCUUGUCAUAGUCUCUAUUCUUCCACAGUGAUGCACACAUGGAUUCCUCCACUAGAGGACAAACUUGUAGGGUGCAUUGGAUACUCUGAAAAAAUAAAAAUAAAAAUUAUUAAAAAAGAAAAGAAAAUCCCCCCUGGCCAAAAUCACUGCAGGGAGGGAGAGGAAACCAACCCCUUCACCCUCCCCUCAAUCUCAACAACAGCUUUAAUAUAUACAAUGUAUAUUAUGUGACUCAUUAGACAAAACAAAAGCAGAAGAGGCCAAAAUGUUCUUUUUUUCUCCUCCCUUUUUUUUUUUUUUCUUUUUCUAAAAAGCAUUUCAGCUGCAAUAAAGUUGUCAAAGAAUGGUUGGUGGCCAUCUUGUUCUCCCAGGACAGAACAGGAAUGGCCAAUGUGCUUGUCCCACUUCCAUCAUAAAAUCCAGGAUACAAUUCAACCUGUGAAGGGGUUUCACCUGAUGAUUUGAUGUAACUUGGUGUUUACUGCAUCAAAAGGACUCAUGGACAAAAAUUCCAAUGAAAGAAAGAAAGAAAAAAAAAAAAGUACCCUUAAGUCUCGGACUCUUUCAAAUUCCUUCGGAAUGUAGUUAAUGAGUAAGCUUUUGGUUCAAAGUAUAUUUUUUGUAAAUGUUUAGAUUGGGUUCGUUAUUAACAUUAUGUGAAAUCGUCGUCAGCCUAAUCGUUUUGAAAAUCUAAAUCACUCAAACAAAAAGAAAAAGAAAAAGAAGGCUAAUUGACUUUAUUUUGAGUUACAUUUUAAUGCACUCACAGCACUACUCCAAAAUAUAUUUUAUGCUGACAAUAAAGAUUCUCCUCCAUGUCAAUAUGUUUGUCCCCUUAUUAACAAUUGCUUUGUUUCUCCAACCUCUAAGUUGUGACUUUGCACCAUUUUGUAUGUAUGUGCUUAUUUAAUUCUCCCACCCUCCUCUAUCCCUCUCAUCCAUUUUAAACCUCCCUCAACCUCACCCCUUCUCCCCCUCCCCUCCCCCCCNAACUCUCUCUCUCUCUCUCAUGGCCUCUUCAUCUCCGCCGUCGUCGGGCCGAGGAAGGCGACUCUCCGAGCUACUAGAGGAGCAGCAAGAGCCCUUCUUCUUAGACAUCUAUCUCAUAGAGAAUGGCUACUCAACCAAGCUCCUUGAGGCUCAAUCAACAACUAUAUGUUGGCCUAGCAUUAGUAGCACAACCAACAAGCUUCAGAGGCUAACAAGCAAUGGCUUCAAGAAGAGAAGAGGCAGCAGUUGGCUUGUGAGGACCAUCCUCUCCAAGAUCCUCCAUGCAAAGGCUGUUAAACGGGCACUGAAUUGGGACUAUAAACCUCCUGAGAUCGGAAGAAAAAGUGUUUCUGACUGUCUGUUCAAGAGUAAAAGGCAGAUCGCCCACGCUCGGCUCUCGUGUUCUGAUCGCGUCGACGCAGACGAAUUCGACGGCAAGGAGGUUAGAUGGGAGAGCAUUGAGAUGGAGGACUCAAACUCAAAGCAGCUCAGCCCUGUGUCUGUUUUUGAGUUGCAUUCUUAUGAGAGCUCCCCUCUCCAUGAUGGCCACUGUGAGUUAUAUAUCAUCCUAUCUUCUUUUUUUUCUUUUCCCCUUUUUUGGGAAAAAAAAUAUAAAAGAAAAUAAUUUUCUCUUUGUUGUUUGAAUGUAUACAGAAAAAGAAAAAAUAACUGUAUUUUUUUUUCCAAUAAUGUUCACAUGCAUGAUUUUAUUUAUUUUUCUUAGUGGUACGUACUUCAGGUAAAGAGGAAACGAUGCCAAACAAGGCUCUGGACAUCUUUAAAGAGCUUCUUGAGGCAGCAUACACUCCUGCAUUGAACCAGUUUGCUGAAUCCAAGGAGCUAGAAAACUCAAAAGUGGUUGUGGAGGAUGUACAUGUAACAGUUGAGGGUUCUGAUCAUGAGUGUUUGGGCCCUGGGGGGAUUGAAGAGUACUUCAAAAAGGAAGAGCUUGAGCUGGCCAUGAUAAGACACCUGAUACAGUGUGAGGUGUCACAGUGGGACAUGGAGUGGAGGGAUUUUCUAAAGGCCCAGGAGAGGGAGAGCAUUGGGAUUGAGAUUGAAGGUGCCAUAUUUGAGGAGAUGAGGGGGGAAGCAGUGUUUGACAUUCUUGGCUUAUUACAAUGUAAACUAGAAAGAUGUUAACUUUUGGUUAAUUGUAGCUAGCUAAUAUAAAGUUUCAUAUCUUUAAUUAGUAUACUGUCACAAUUAAUCAAUUCCUUCUCUUAUUUUAUAUAUAUAUAUAUAUAUACAUAUAUAGAAUUAUAAUACUAUACUAUUUGAUUGUACCAAGCGCUCGGUGCUAUUAAGUUAAUUUUCGUCCGUUGGAUGAAAGGAUGCAUGGUUAGUAUGAUAGUGAUCUCCUAGGGUUGAGUGGGUGGUUGGUUGAAUGGUAUAAUCUUACGAAUGGAAAUGAUUAAAUGAUAGAUCUAACGACAAAAAAUCCAAUAGUAACAAAAGCUUAAUAUUAUCGAUAGUAUAGUAACUGAAUUCUCUCUCUCUCUCUCUCUCUCUCUAUAGAAAAAAAUAGCAUGCUAUCUGUUUUAUUUAUUUUUAAAAAUAAAUUUAGUUGAAAGUGCAAAACCAUUAUUAGGCUUCAGGCAAUCGUGUACCAACCAAGUGGACUUCUCUUUUUAGUUUUUGGUAUGAAAUUGGUGCUGUCAGGACUAUUUUAGUUUUUUUUUUUUAAUACUAUUUACAUAUUUGAAAAGUUUUAAUCUUGAUUAAAAUUAUAAUCCGUUUGCACUAUCCAUAGCAAAAACGAUGUUCUUUCAUAUAGCUUAAAAAGCUUUUGAAGACGAAUUAAUGCUUGUUGCUCAUUAACGAAAAUUUUAUAACCGGCCAAAACAAAGAUCUUCCAGAUUUGUGGGUCAAGAUGUCUUAUAUAAGAUCAAUUUUCUAUAACCCCGUGUGUAUGUUUUCCUACGCACGGUGUUUAUCCGGCUGCUAGUUCUUAGCAUAAUUAAUCAGCGACGUUCGAUAUAGAUGGUGUAGAUUAAUUCUGCUAAAAUUCAAUGAUGAGAUUGUAAAUUAAUCUCGCGCGGUAGCGAAUCCUACACACAUUGUUGUACUCAUUAAUUCGAACCACAUUAUUAGUUUUCCAUAUUUCUCUAAGAUUCUGCAUGGGUUUAAAGUCACAACUAACACUGUAGCAAUAUGAGUUGCAUGUUGAUGCUUCUAUUUAAUGCAAUGUUUGAGAGUGAGAAUAUAAACUGUACGUGCAUUAACUCCACACGCUCCAACCCAAACUCCACUGCGUGAUUCGUACACAGCUCAAAUAAUUAAUCUACCCGGUUCAACAAGGCCUACAUAAUUCAAAAUAUAUAGCUUAUGUGGUUCAAAUCUCGCAGUUCAAUAGCAAUUGUAUGAUUGCACGAUAUUGGCUAGUUUUCCUAUACCAUGUGUGUACGUAGGACUAUUUGUAUUGAACGAUCCUGAUUCAUCUUAUCGCUUAUAAGCGGAAAUGAAUCGUCUCAUGCACAGAAAAUUCAAAUGUAUACCACUUAAAACCUACAGUUUGAGAAAUUCAUAGCAUUUCCAUUUUUCUCCAAAAAAAAAUUAAAAAAACGUGAAACUUUUAUAUAUAAACACAGUGAUUCAUGGCCAUUUGUCCAUAUAUAUAUAUAGAGAGAGAGAGAGAGAGAGAGAGUUGAGCUGGAAUGCUAUUGAUAGCAAAUGGGCUCCGUUGUUAUCCAUUUAUUUUUGAUGAUAGGGCCUUCAAUCGAUGAUCAACACUGUUGAGUAUGAUCUAUACCAUUUGAAGUAUCUGAAAAUCAAAUUUUAAAUCUUUUCGACAUCAUUGACCUAAAUUUUUUCAACAUCAUUGACCUAAUGAUCAAAAUGUUUCAAAAUUUGUAAUUUUAAUGGUAGAUAUAAGGUAUUUGCUCCUUUAACAGUGUAAAGCUAUUCAAAUUAAUUGAAUUUUGGUUAAAAUUUUUUUAAAACUAUUUAGAAAAAGAUCUAUACUCUCGAUCUUGUUUACAAAAUUUCUAUCGUCACUUUUUAAAAAAUAUUUAUUUUUAGUCAUUCAUUUUAAAAGAUUUGUCCAAUGUGCUUC
RNAcentral lists this long non-coding RNA (71003 nucleotides) under Ananas comosus (pineapple). RNAcentral describes it as "long non-coding RNA (ACOM_LNC019129)". Lineage: Eukaryota; Viridiplantae; Streptophyta; Magnoliopsida; Poales; Bromeliaceae. The record is from RNAcentral.